RNAcentral lists this long non-coding RNA (50397 nucleotides) under Triticum aestivum (bread wheat). Its description in RNAcentral is "long non-coding RNA (TAES_LNC011654)". The record is from RNAcentral. Lineage: Eukaryota; Viridiplantae; Streptophyta; Magnoliopsida; Poales; Poaceae.
UCUUUUUUUUGUAUAAUAAGGAGACACUUCCUUGCGUGCGAAGAUAUAGCUGGUGGGUCCGACCUGUCAGCGGGGGGGAACGUUUUUUGCGGAAUACAGAGGCUGUUCUGGUGGGUCCUAGAUGUCAGCUGCAGGAAUCAUUAGUUUGCGCAUAAUAAGGAGGCAUUUCCUUGUGUGCAGCCAUGGACCCAGCUGUCACCCUCUCCACGUACAGUCCAUGUCCGAUGGAAGUCGUUCCAUGACCAUGUUGACCACUCCGCGCCGAGAGCACCAGGGUGGUGGACGACGGCGAGGCCUAGGAAGGGGACGACGCGGAGCCGGGGAAGACGCGGCAGUGGAUGCCCACGCGGAGAGGAGUACGAGGGUUCACUUGUUCGGCUGCGGUGUGAGGCUGUCGUCGCCACAGGGCCUGGCUAGCGGUGGGAGUAGUAGGGGGCGGUGAGGCCUCAACGGCAGUACAGCCGGCCACUGGAGGCAAGAGCAGGCGGUCUCGCCGGCGCUGGUUUGGGCGGCUGGUGCAAGAAGAGCAGCACUUGAAGAAUCAGCAGGACCGUUUGAUUCAAAUCCAACGGUUACUGCUACUACAAUCGUUUGUUGACUAAGUUGGCAAGCCCUGCGUACGCGUCAACUUAGUAGGCCCACAGGUCAGCCUCCCAACCGGUGCGCCCCAGAUGUUAGUGGAAGGAAUCAUUUUUUCGUGUAAUAAGGAGGCAGUUGAUUGUGUGCGGCCGGGCCAGCGGAGGGAGUAGGGUGGGCCGGGGAAGCCUGUGCGGCAUCACAGCGGGCCAGAAGAGGAGGGAGCAGGCAGUCCCGCCAGCACUAGUUUAGGCGACUGGAGCAGGAAGAUCAGAGAUUGAAAAAGCACGUUGGCCGUUGCAUGGACAUCCAACAGUCACUGCUGCUAGAAUCGUGUGUUGACUAACAAAGCCUUGCGCAAACAAGUCAGCCUCGAAAUUUGUGGCGUGUACAACCCAUUUGCUAUUAUUUUUAUAAUUUUUACUCAUUUUCUAAUUCAUACGGAAAUUAUUGCAGCCCGUUUUCCAUUUUUAGAAUUGCUGCCCAUUUUCUGGUCAUUACCAGGGUUAAAAAAUUAAUUAAAUAUGUGCGAAAUUUUGAAAAUUCGCAAAUUUUGGCUGGGGAACAAAAUAUUCUUAAUCCAAAAAUUACUAAUCAUACAAAAACAAAUUUAAAAAUAAAUUAGUACUAUGUCAUGUUAAAUCCAAUGAAAUACUAUAAAAUAUCAGUGAAGAACAAAAACAAAAAAAGAAACUAAUAUCUCAUUUGCUAUAAUUUUUUGGGAAUUUUCAACCGCUUUGAUAUUACUUUUAACAGACAUUGACCAUACUCUUUGGCCAGGCCGGAAUGCAUCCCUCCUCGUCUUGAAAGAUUUGCAGCCCAGUAAGUCAAAGAAAAUAAAUAGGCCUAGCUUGGGUAUUCUUCAAAAAGAAAUACUGGGCCACCUAUUUUCCCAAAGAAAAACCUGCUAGGCUGGUCAUGUUGUUAGACGGGUCAUAGAGACCGCACAACCCAGUUUAUAGCCUGCUCCUCCGAAUUACUACUCAAAAAAAAGUUGUGCAAUUCUAUCGUUAAUUGACUAUACGUUGAAAAUGAUGUGGGUCCCGGAUAUCAGCAGGGUGGACUAGAGUAAAAAAACAAGGGGUGCAUCUGAGUAGUAAAAGAGGCGCUUGCUUGUGUUCGGGAGUGGACCUGGUGGGUCCGUACUGUCAUACUCACAACUACAGUUCUCUCCCGAUUCACUAUGUUGACAGGGAGAGUUUCGAAAAAAAACUACGUUGACAGGGCCGGACGGCGGCGCCGCGGCGAGCGCACCAAUGCGGAGGAUAAAGUUUUGUCGCCUAUGUGCUGGGCUGGGUUGGACAUUCUUAUUGAAAAAUAAAAAUGGAUCGGAACUAUUUACGAUGUUGACUACGAUUUGCAUGGGUCCGCUGGUGGCAGGAAGAAAAUGCUGGGAGAAAGAAGACCGGUCGCUAUCUUUGCCUAAGAAUAAUAUCAACUGAAUGUAACGACACUAUCAUAGGAAAUAAUAUCCUCCUGAUAAAUCAUGAAUUUAAAUAACUGGUGCAUGAGCAUUUAGCUUUAUUUAUUUAUUUACUUAUUUAUGUUUACGGGACCAUGAGCAUUUACCUGGGCCGGAUUCAUGUGAGAGCCUCCCUUCCAGUUAAUUAUGGGCUCCUCUAUUGGGCCUUCAUCAGUGGGCUGCAUGUUAUCAACAAGUGGAAAAUAUGUUUCGUACGAAAAAUAGUAUGCGUUACAUACGGUACGGGGCACUAAGGAUCGAACCGUGCAACGACUUCCAAAACAUUGUGUUUGUCGUUCUAACAACACAUUUAUUCAACCAACAGAUGAAAUAUACUACUGAUUGUACAUUGAAAACAGCAGCAGCAGCAACCAGGGCUGGGGCUGCAACAGAAGCAGUAAGCAAACUAGAAGAGUGAAGACGCAGCUCUCUCUUCCAAACCAAACAUCGGCCAUUAUUACAAAAGGGCUACCAAAAAAGAACAAGUGUAUGCAUCAAACUAAAUAAAGAUCCUACUACACCAAGUAUACGCAUCUAACUAACUGGCUCAGUUAGAUGUUACUAUUUAUUAAGCUGUGGAGAUUGGCUGACGGCUUGUAUCAGAUGGGUGCCUGACGGGGGAAACUCCAGCCAGCAGGUCGAAGUCUAAUACUUGCAACCCUCUCUCCUACUUUGGGCUGCAGAGCGUGGCAGCACAUAUCAGGGUAUGGUGCAUGCAGAGACGCAUGGUAUGCUGUGUACACACAGUUUUGCCUGAUGAACGAAACCAUGCUGCCAUCAUGAUCCUUGCCGUCGGUUAUCUCCUGGUUAAUCGGAUAAUUCAGUCCGACAAACAGAGAGCGUGUACCAAGGCUACUUACCAGCCUCCAGUCAAAAAUUCCUAAAGGCCCAGAGAAGCUGGGAUCCUGCUCAAAGACCUUGCAGUGAUUGUGAUUGUAUUCCGUGAAACAACACGUCCAGUAUGUGCGAACGAUCAUCAAUCGUUCGCCGUCGUCUAAUCGAGCCAGGAACCACCUGCAACUACCAUGCUACUUUUCUUUGAAAGGUUUUGGGAUUAGGAAGGGUAGGGACACCAGACGGCCUACAACAUCAUAUCAAGUUGGAGUCAAAUAAAUAAGGGCUCUUGAUGUAGUCAAUCUUAAGAACAGCAUGUUAUGAGCAUGAAAAAAAUUCAGUAAAUGUUGACAGUAAUAUAAGCAAGCCAUCAUGAUAUCAUAGGAAAGUAACAUACUGCUGUAACAGCCGAUUGUAGCGAUGACUGGAGUAGGCUAGCAAUAUGUCCAGCCAUAGGAGUCGACAGCGUAAAUGAAGCCCUUGUGUUCAAUGGCAUCAGAGAACCAUGGAGGAUGUAUGAUCCUGUGAUGGACGUGUCGAUUUAUCCACUUACAGCAGUGACCUAUCAGAUAGGCGGGAUCGCGGUUGAAGAACGCAAUUAUCCUGAAGUCUUUAUAAUUCGUAGAUCUUGUGGGCACUUGGCAGAUUACAACCUUGAGCAAAUAAAACUUGGUAUCAUGUUGGCUAAUGUAAGAUUCCGAGUAUUCUGGGCCGCGGUGCCAAAGCAGUGCAGUGUUAAUCAAAGGAAGGGGGAUCAAUCGCCAGGUGUAGACCUCCAUGAGCAUCCAGCUGCCGCGAUCGUCGACAAGCACCAUCCAAGAUGUGUUCAUGCCGACCCAAUACAUAUCGUUAACGUAGUUGAGGGUGAUGGGGAUCGGAUCACGGUCAAGGGGAUUGAUGCUCGCCACCCUACAAUCGUUAUGUUGCGUGACACGCCAUUUCUGAAGAUCAGGCGGCAUCAGCAAGCACGGAGUUGGCUUAAAAAGCUCCGGCCUAAGGGCUUUGAGUAAACGGUACAUCCCCGACGAGCAUGCGGCGAGCGGCAUGGUACUUAGAUUGUCCACAUGCAAAACAAUGAGCUUGAUUACCUUUGUGGGCAGCGAAUUCCAGCCACUCUUUCGGCGAACGCUGCUCGGUUCUGCCAUUAUUAGUGCUUGGGUUUCGAACGAGGGGGAGGCGCCUUAGCGGGGAUGGAAGAUUGGACGAGAUUAUGUGCGGACAAAGAUGGAAAAGCGAAUAUGUGCUGCGGGAAGUGGACAGGUGAUGAUGACUACAGCACGCCGCUUGACUUACGAGACACAUACCAGCAGCGUAGGGUCAUAUCGACGCUAGACAACUUGCUUGAGUGAUCACAGUACUGGUACUCCCUACAGUACCUACUACUAUGCCCUAACUUGCUUGAGUAGAGUAGUAGAGUAGGACUCUGCUCUACUACUAGCACUGGAGGAGUAGUAUAUUCUAAUCUAAAAUAGUUACAAACUUCAAUGCCUGAGCGUGGAACGACUACAAACCGUGCUCAAAGACCGUGUCUACUUGGUGCUGGAAUUAUAUGCAAAAAAAUAGCAAGAUGCCCGUGCAUUGCACGGCACACCAUCAUCACCAACUUGGUUUUUUCUCUACUCCUAUAAAAGACUCAGUUGGUGAUGAUGGAGGCGAGGAGGCGUGUUCAGCCGGGCAUGCAGCGGACGGUGCAGUACUAUUAGAUUUGUUAUAAAAAACAAAGAAGAGUAGUAGAGAUAGAGAUAAGAGUAGAGAUAGAGACUUAGGGAGGAGCACGAGGUUGUGGGAGAUAAGGAUGAACGAGGCAAGGCCUUAUCUGUAAAUGUGGAGAGAGGUGCGGGUAUCUUUUGUAAAAUUGUCAUAGUUGGAUUUCUAUCCGUCAGAUAUAGAUCGGACGGUCUAUAUUACAAGAUGGCAGGCACACCAUCAUCACCUACUCGGUUUUCUAUAAGAGUAGAUAUAGAUAGAUAGAGACUAGGGAGUACUAGUAAGUACACCAUCUACUGCUUCGUGUGCUACUCCUGCGCUCCAUUCGGCGGCCGCAACGUCCCUAUAGCCACUCUCUCCUACGCUCCAUUUGACGGGCGCUAUUGAAAUUUGGGGAGCGCACUCUCGCGACUGCUGGCAGCCACGACUUUACUGACGACGACUUCUUCCCCGACCUUGGCAACCUCUUCCUCAACGACAUGGGCGACAACCUCAAUACCAACGGUGCUGCUCCCGUUGCACCGUAUGUGUUUCUGUCCUUCCUGUUCGAAAUCGUGGUAGAAUUCAUGUUUCUACUCUGUAUCCUACUACUAUGCUAGUCCACAUGAUUAGUUUCAUCUCUGUUAUAGCCGUCAUGAUUUAUUUUGUGCUUAUUCGGAUUAAAUAUCGUAGUAACUUGCUCAUAUAUUCAACUGGCGCAAUAUCCCCUAUAGCCACUCCCGUUUCAUGGACGGACUGGUCGAUGCCUCCAAGGAGCCCUUCGUCUACUGCUAUGAGUGCCUGAUGCCGUUUUGGGGCUCGCCUGCGGACAUGGUGCAUCACCUCACAGAUGCGUGCAGUGAUCACUACUGGCCCUUGGCGGAGAACAUCAACUACGAGACAUGCUACCUGUUCACCAUGUCGGAGUCGCUAGAGGAUCACCACCGCCUGCUAGUCUCGGAGGAGGACGGCAGUGUCUUCCUCUUGAUCCUGGACACCGGCGAGGCCUGCGCAGGCCGCCGCCCCGUCUCUGUAGUGUGUGUCAGGGGCGACGCCGCUGACGCUAACACUGACACGAGGCCGAUGUAUGGGUGUGUGCUCAGUGUUACUACCCCUCCAGGUCACGUGGGCGGUGACUCCGGCCUCAUCGAACGGACUUGGACUCUGCGGAGCUGGGACUUUCCCGCCGAUGUGGACUUGGAAAACCCAUGGUCUCCUUUACCCGCCAACACGGUGCACGGGGACUCCAAGGAGGUUCACUUGGACAUACGCAUUACCAAUUUAAAUGUUGAUCAUUAGUCUUCGCUCAAUGUAAUCCGCUGUUUAAGCAUGUGGAGACUUCCAUGCAUGAUCUUUCUCUAUUUGAGUAUUGUGCAUGAAUAAAAGUGUAUCCGUUUAUGGUUUAGUCUAGAAUCUUCCAUGUAUGAACUUUUACUACAGUACUGGUGAAAGACUUACUAUGAACCAUUUCUUACAUCUCCUCUACCCCUUCCAAGUCAUCCUGAUUUAAUCCCUCCGUCGAGGUGUAUAAGGGCAUGGUUAAUACUUAAUAGUAUAGCCAACGGUUGACUACAAGAAAGUGCCAUGUCAUCUGUAAACAACAUGUAUAACAAUCGAUACUCAAAAACUAAUUCUUAAAGCCAACGGUGCUGCUCCUGUUGCACCGUAUGUGCCUCUGUCCUUCCUGUUUGAAAUCGUGGUAGAAUUCAUAUUUCUACUAUGUAUCCUACUACUAUGCUAGUCCACAUGAUUAGUUUCAUCUCUGUUAUAGCCGUCAUGAUUUAUUUUGUGCUUAUUCGGAUUAAAUUUCAUAGUAACUUGCUCAUAUAUUCAACUGGCGCAACGUCCCCUACAGCCACUCCCGUUUCAUGGGCGGCCGGGUCGAUGCCUCCAAGGAGCCCUUCGUCUAUUGCUAUGAGUGCCCGAUGCCGUUUUGGGGCUCGCCGGCGGACAUGGUGCAUCACCUCAUGGAUGCGUGCAGCGGUCACUACUGGCCCUUGGCGGAGAACAUCAAGUACGAGGCGUGUUACCCGUUCACCAUGCCGGAGUCGCUAGAGGAUCACCGUCGCCUGCUAGUCUCGGAGGAGGACAACAGCGUCUUCCUCUUGAUCGUGGGCACCGGCGAGGCCCGUGUAGGCCGCCGCCCCGUCUCUGUAGUGUGCAUCAGGGGCGACGCCGCUGACGCUGACACUGACAUGAGGCUGGUGUACGGGUGCAUGCUCACUGUUACUACCCCUCAGAGGUACGUGGGCGGCGACACCGGGUCCAUCAUGCUGACUAGGACUGUGUAGAGUUGGGACCUUCCCGCCGAUGUGGACAUGGAAGACGCAUGGUAUGAUUUACCCCGCAACACGGUGCACGGGGACUCCAAGGAGGUUCAUUUGGACAUAUGCAUUACCAAGUUAAAUGUUGAUCAUUAGUCUUCGCUCAAUAGAAAUCUGUUGUCUAAGCAUGUGGAGACUUCCAUGCAUGAUCUUUCUCUAUUGGAGUAUCGCGCAUGAAUAAAAGUGUAUCCAUUUAUGGUUUAGUCUAGAAUCUUCCAUGUAUGAAUUUUUACUAUAGUACUGGUGAAAGACUUACGAUGAACCAUUUCUUACAUCUCCUCUGCCCCCCUUCCAAGUCAUCCUGAUUUAAUCCCUCCGUCUAGGUGUAUAAGGGCAUGGUUAAUACUUAAUAGUAUAGCCAACUGUUGACUAUAAGAAAGUGCCAUGUCAUCUGUAGCCAACAUGUAUAACAAUCGAUACUCAAAAACUAAUUCUUAAAGAUCAUUUCUUGCAAAGCACAAUAAGUGUUAUUUCUUCACAAGUUUUGGAUGCAGGUUGAACAGUUGAAUGCUUUUGUUUGCAAAAGAUACCUUUUUAUCUAUUUCACCCGAAUGUUUCUGAGCUCUAGAGAUGAAAUAAUAUCCGAGAAACCUAUAAAUACCCGUUACACAUGAGAUGACCCCAACAUCCUUUGUCAAAAUAAACAACUCCCCGGUCAAUGCAUUUCACUCUUCCGUGCAACGCACGGGGACCUUACUAUAGAUUAGUAUGACCAAAACUUGAACUAACAUUAUAUAUAGUACGAUAAAUGUUGAUGCAUGUCAAACAAAAUUAUAUAAUUGAAAACUAUGUUCAAAUACGAAACCAACGAUAUAGUUUUUGUUGACAUCCACUAACAUUUUGUCAGUUAAAUCUUCAGUCAAAUUCAAUGGGGGACUAAUAAACCACGACCGAUGUAGUACAAGUGUAGAGGGUGGCACUGCAUGGGAGUCUCACCCCGCUUGUGGCGCGGUAGUAAAGUCGUCAUAUCACAAAACCCAACCACUGCCAGUAAUAUGUGGCCUGGUAAAAUAAACGGACAAGCAACCAUCACAUCCCUCCAUCUUUUUGCAUUUCAUCUCUCUACAUUUACUUUCUCCAGUUCAUCUUGCACACUCGAUCCCUGGCUACUCCUAGUAUCCCUAGCUACUACUCCUAGGGCUAGUUCUUUUGGCGGCUUAAAAAAUAAGCCGUCUCUUCCCCAGCUUUUCCCAUAAGACUAGUCACAGCGGAGAGUAACAUUAAGGCGCCUCACUCAUUUAUUUGGGCUUCUAAACUACUAGUACUACUAGUACUCCCUUCAUUUUUGUAUACAAGGCCACAAACUCAAAUUACGGGUACCAAGAUAAAAAUCAAUUUGUGCUUUACAAGUCAAUUUAUUUUCUCAUUUACCGGGUUAAUUAAUAGGGUGCAUCCACAUUAGAAGAAAUUGAGUGCCCGUGAGAGAGGAAGUAGAUGAGUUUGUCAUUAUAAUCCACUACAUGCAUGCUAGUAAUUAAGCCAUGGGUUACUAGUACGAGGAAACAUCAUUAAUAUUUGUCUCGAUUACUGUUGGUGGCCUUGUAUAGAUGCAAAAUGUAUUUUUUAUAGUGGCCUUGUAUACAAAAAUGGAGGGAGUACCUCCGUCCUGGUUUAUUCGCCACCAUUGUAAUUUGUGGUAAAUUUUGACCAAAGAUUUAACUGAUAAAAUGUUAGUGCAUGUGACAUCACAAACAUUUCAUUAGUUAAAUUUAUGAUCAAAAUUUGACACAGAUUACAAUGGGGACCAAUAACCAGGAUGGAGCUAGUAGUAAAGGGAUUACUACUAAUCUAGAAGCCUAAACAAACUGGCCCCUGGUACUCCUACUAGUAGUACUAGUACUCAAGUUGGAAUUCCAAUUGCACGGCACAACUUGUUAGGCAAAAAAUUCGAUACAGGGUGUAGGAAGCGGUUUGGGAAUUUGCAUGCCUUUCCGACCAGUGAGAUACUCCGUACAAAGUAUGACAGAGAAAUAACCACAGAGAAGGAAGCUAAAAGUAAACAAUCAAACGAGCAUUUUUGCAUUUGUUUUGCAUUGAAUCGUUUGACAAGCUUGACUAGUACUGUUUUUCUACUUUUACAAAAACCGCAUCGUAAUGUUAAAACGUGCAUUUGCCCGUACAUAAGUAAUAGUAGUACUCCCUCCGUCUAGGUGUAUAAAGUCUUCCCUCCUACUUGGUCACGGUGCACAACCAAAGAUGACUUAUUCACCUUGACGGAGGGAGUAGCACAGUCUGCAAACAUAUAUAGAGAGAGACGUGUAGUGAGAUAGUAUAUAGUACUAAAGUUUGUGUUGUAUGCACCUACUUACAAAAUGCGUACGGAUACACAAGGUUUCCAAACUUUCCCUCUUACAUAGUAAAUUAAGGAUACUAAUAAUUCCCGAACAUUCGGGAUUUAUCAUUUGCAUCCCAAAACUAAUGAGAUCACCUUACGAAACUAAAUUAUACUCCCUACUAAAAGCCACAGCGCUCGCAGGAGCGCUGGCGGCGCGCCAUGAGUGCCCUGGUGUGCAGCCGUUUCCCAGCGCACCGACACAACACCUCUUCCUCAGCCUCGCAACUCGUGAUGUGCUGAUUGGUGGCUUGCCGGAGGGCGAGCGCAAUCUCACCGGUGUGGUGAUCCGGCGCCAGCAGGUACUCCCCCUUGCUGGAAGCGUGCAUCCGGUCCACAUACCGCCAAGCGUAGAUGAGGCGCUUGGGCCCGAUUGCACUCAGGGCAUUGGCACGGGCGUCCUCCGCCACCCUCACAGCCCUUGCACGGGCCUUCUGCCAAAGAGCCAAUUGUCUGACUCUCUCGGACGUGACAUAGAGCUGCCAGGCAGCUUGCCCCGCGGCGCGCUUCUCUUCCUCGGCCUUCUUCUCUGCCUCUAUUUUGGCGUGCUCUGCCGGCGGCAAAGCCUCCCACAUGGCGACAUCCAUUUCUUUCCAAAGCUCCUCAAGGCUGGGGGGCUCGGCGGGCGAUGCGGCGUUCUCCUUGUAGCGGGGAGCAGACGCGCGUGCUGGCAAGAUUGGGAAUGCCGACGCGUCCACCUCGAUGCGUCGCGGCGAGGAGUGGAAUGCCGACGCAUCCUCCUCAACUAGUUGCGGCGAGGAACGGAACGGCAACGCGUGACCAUCCGGGCGGUGCAGUGAGGCAUGCUUAGGGCUUGGGAGGGGCGAUGCCAUGGUGGUCGACGUGAGAGGGAGGGGGAGGAGAUAGCGAUGAACGUGAGCGUUCUUCCUAAUGCCGUGGGAGGCGCAGUAUUUAUAGCGAGCAAUGGCACACCUACAUAAGAUAUGGACUGAGCUGCACUGACUUAACUGCAGGUCCAGUUGCAUCACUGACAUGUGGGCCAGACCCUUGUUGGGCCCAUAUGUGAGUGACCCAAUGCACCUAUAGUUAAGUAACUAAAGCAGCGUCCGGGAAGAUAUGUUGCGUGAUUAACGUAAUAGCUACGUGGGCAUAUUUGUUGGAGUAAAUUACGGGGGAGGGAAGGGGUGGAAAUAUUGCUGGUCACAACGGAUUGGACGAGCGUGGGGGAGGAGAGUCAUGCAUGCAGAUUUUUUCACACGGGAUGGAGUGGUGGGACCGCCGGAGGGAGAAGGAGAGUCUGGCAGGCAUAUUGUUUCCACACAUGGAGAGGAAAAGAUUUGGAGAUGAACAGGCUUCCUGCAGGUCUGGGGAACGGUGCAUAAUAAGUCAUCUUGCAUGCCGGGCUAGGUAUAGUCUCAAGUCAUUAAAAACAUACACGCCCCACACAUGUUCAUAUUUCAAGGUGCACUAAAUUAUUGCAUGCGAUGAUUAAGGCUGGCCAUAAUGGUGGUAUCUUAGAUGGUAUCAUGCACACGGGAAUAGUAAACAUGCUGAUUUGGCAAAGAAUUAAAGAAGAGGGGGGUUAGAGUAACUAGUGUUCAUGCAUGCAUUGGUAAACACAUUUUUUGUGAAGAACGACAGCAUAAGUUGAGUACUUUUGCAGACUUAAAAAACUAUUCCACCGCCUCUACUAUCUUGCUAAGAGUGGGUGAAAUUUUUGAAUCGAGCCCUUAAAACUAGAAGGGAGGUAGUAGUACUCUAAUAGCUAACCUUGUUGUGAUGACAAGAUAGGACAUGGCACGCACCUGGACGGAGGAACUAGUCUGCAUUGUGCAUUUAAGUUUUGUCUGAAGUCAAUGUACCUCUACUUUCACCAAACUUAUAGAAAAAUGUAUCAACAUUCACAAUGUCAAAUCAAUAUUUUACACUCAUUAUAAAACAUAGUUCUUAUACUCAUUAUAAUCAGUAUUGUAGAUAUUGAUAUUUUUAGUAUAAAUUUGGUCAAACACUUUGCAAAUGGUUGAUGGCAGUAAAAAGGACCAGAGGGAGUAUCAUGCAUGCGGAGUAGGCAAACAAUUGCUCAUUUAUAGCCGGUCGAAGUCUCAAAGGGCGCGACCACGCGAGGGAGGCGAAAGUUGUGGGAGGCGCGACAGUUGACGGAAUUAAGUGAAGUUACAUCCACGCUCCGGCAUGGAGUGCGAAUAGGCAGAAGCUAUAUCGUCAGGCCUACAAUAUGGGUCUAGUAGACAUGACAUCUAGUGGGUCCCGCAUAGUUCUCGAGAACUCUUUGGGGGCUUGCAGUCGUUUAUCCACCGGGCAAACCAGCAACCCCACGCCAUUCGCACGCCCUACUCGCCCCCGUCUUCUACCUUACAAUAGUUCGCUCCCAGUUGUCCCGUCCUUUCACAUUAGUUCGCUCCCAGUUUUUUUUGCGGGGUACAAGAGUUAAACUUCUCCUAACCCUCCUCCAAAAUCCAUGGCCUCCCAAAUCUCCAUGGUCGCUGCUGAGUACCAGGUUAGAGCCAUCACCGGCAAUGAGUUCAUCGUCAUCUACACACGUGGAUCCGCGACGGUGAAAGCAUGGCUUGCUCGCUUCCUACGCAUGUUCAACAGUUCAAUGGAUGAGUGGGUCGCUGGGCUAGAUGUUGAGUACACCACAGUCCUGGAAAGAGAGAAGAUUCUAAAGGAGGCAGAGAGGAAGAAGCCCGCCGUGAUGCAGGUUUGCGUACAUAACGUUUGCUUGGUCUACCACAUAUGCCAUGCCGACGUUGAGUGCCAGGAUUUUAAGAACUUCCUCAAGGACAAAAGAGUGAAAUUCGUUACUGUAGACUUUAAGAAUGAUAGGGAUGUCCUACGUCGGACAGGUCUCGUUGUAGGCCAGCCCUUCGAUCUCUAGAAGGCAAGCCUGGUGUCCUCCUCUCAACCUUCAAUGCUGACCCUGGCAGCAGCCAUGAUUGAUCCUUCAUACACUAAACUGAAGAAACCUCAUCACGAGUUUCAUCAUGCAUGGGAGUCGAAGACAUUAGAUGAAGAUCACAUUCUGUACGCAGCAAUGGAUGCCUACCUUUUUUUAAAUAUCUACAAGGGUUGGAUGAAGAAGCAGAGCCCAGUGUCCGGUUCAAGCAAAGAAGCAUCGGCGAAGAGGAAGAGGAAGAGGGACCAGGACGAAGUCGAGGACGUGGAAUCGGACUCCGAGUAGGUGGCAGUGCCGUCGCUCAUGCUGGUUCUAGUGCAGUGUCAAGCAGACUAGUUGCUUAGUUUAUUUUCAAGGGUGUGUUGUGCUGAGGCCCCAGCAGAACUAAGUUUAUGUUCUUUCUCGUUAUUUGAACUCUUUAGUACAUACAGUAGUACUAGUACUAUGUCUUACUACUGUUCUUCUUGUAGUUGGUACUACUGCUCGUAUCUUCGUGUUCCUACUAUACUUAAUACGUUCAUACUAGUAGUAUAAUUUGGGUCAGUCGAUUUGUGAAAGAAGUUCGACGGAGCGAAGGAAGAAGACGGCAGAAGAGGUGGAAGAAGCCCUUCUAGCCAUCCAUGUUGCUCACAAGAGUCGACUGACCCAAAUUGCUCCUUCAGAUUGCAGGAUCCAUGUGGCAUUCAAGGUCUCGAAGGUAGAUUCCGUGUCCGCACCCGGUUUGCGGACUCGACACGCGCGCGACUGGCUUCCGCCGCGAUAGCCACCAUGCGCGCCUCCUCCGCGCGGGCGGAGACGACAAUGACAUGCUAGUUCCUCCUCGCCGGCGUGCUAGAGCACAUGCUCAUCCUCCUCUUCGUAUGCUACAUGCAUAGACGCAGCUCCACCAGCUGCUCGCGUGCUUGGAAGCACGGUGGCAUCGCGAGGAGGGACUGCAGACGACGUGAGCGGGCGAGCCUUCAGCUUCAUGGUACAGAGAUGGCGGCGACACAGCGGUGAUGGACGAGAAAUUGUUGGCCGGAGCAGGCGAGCGCUGGCAUGCGCAACGGCGGCGGCGGCAUAUUGAUGAGUGCACGUAUGGGAGCUUACUUUAGUUUUAUAUAAGGUUGGUCAAACUUAAAAGAAAAUCGUACUAGUACACGUAAACAUUAGACUUAGGCAGCGCUUUUAUUAGUUAGUACCACAACCACGAUACGGAAUCCUAUGCAAGCGCGUGAACCGCGGCCGCGCGUUCGAUCGAACGGUGCGUCACCAUGUCGCACUCGAAGGACAUCCACCGAACCUUUUUGUGUGUGUGAAAACAAUCCCCGAAUAUUGCUCAACUUUUUUUUCCUAGAAAAGUUCUUGACGCUGCAAUAUUUCCAUAUAUUUGAAUUUAGCUCCAGUUCAUGUUUAUUUAGAUUUGGACAUUUUAGGUGCGCCCUAGUUUUUUUUAAUACUGAUUUUGUGUGUGUGACUGAGAAAGAACGUGUGUAUGUGUCCAUAUGUGUGUUGUGGCAGAAGGGCAAUGUGGAUAUGGUGUGCGUGUGAUACAGACAUAGAGAGGUGUGAAUGUGCAAAUGAUCAUGCAUGAGUGAGACAUAGACAGAUGCCGAUACGUUGUGUAUACAUGAGAGAACGGUCUUCUAGUUUACUUGUGUGUGUGUGUGUGAGAGAGAGAGAGAGGAGCAUCCGUAACACAACAACCAUCUCUCUCGAUUUGUUUGUCCCUCGCAUGAUCGCAUGUAACACAUGCAUCAACGCGCACAUUUUGACACCCUCACCCGGCCCCUGCCCACCUCAGGGCCCGCACAAUCUCUUCGUGAAUACCCAUUUCUCUCCUUAGGUUUGUUUUCUCUCAAUAUCUGACACACACACACACACACACAGAGAGAGAGAGAGAGAGCACAACACACACAACCUCCCCGAGCACACAAUUAAUCCCCGUCCAAGGUUAUACGGCAACCACUCUCGCUUGUGCUUCUUUGCACCCCCAACAUGCACAACACCUCAAUCUUCAAAGAGGGCAUCGAGGAGAUCGAAGACGACGACCACACCGCGCUAGAGAAUGCGGGGCCAUUUGGAAGCAGGAUGAUGUGAUGACGGCUGAUUGACUCCUCCCCCCACCCUCUCUCUCUCGCACAAAAUUACCAAUCCGUCUCUCCCCCGCACAAAAUUAUCAAUCCCUCAACCCACGAGAUCCUUCCCCUCUCGUCCAUGUUUUUCCAGCUCUCUCAUCAAACAUGUUGUCUCGUCUGCUUCCACGUAUACAGAAUCCGGAUGCACAUGCAUCUCACGUAUAUUACAUGUCUCCAUCUUUCUCACAAACCUAACUUCUUCCUCUCUCUUUCUCUCUCUAUCUCUCUCUCUCUGUCUCGUUAGGUUUGUCUCCUACGCUCUCAUCCACAUACAUACAAUCUUUCCCGCCCUAUCUGCUCCAUCUUCGCAAGCUCUCUCAGCACGUUUCAUUAACACAUUGGGAUAUGUUCAAAAUGUUGCUUCUAUAAUGGCUGAUGUAGAGUUAUGGUUGGUUUUGUUGCAUCCUACAAAGUAAUAACUAUGAAAUGCAUUUAGAUUCUCAUUUGACUGGGAUUAUGUGAGUUUGAGCAUGUUGUGAAGUACUAUAGACCUUGUAUACAUCUUGGGAUUCGACAAUGAUUGUAACUAUUGAAUUGUAUAGAACAUUACAUUCAAAGUCAAUAGCCUAAUAUAUUUAUUUCACAAUUUCAACAAAUGAUUAGUUCACUACAAACUAAGAAAACAAAUGUCUACUCCCUCCGUUUUUAUUUAAGUCCGCGUAUUAGCAUUGGCCAAAGUCAAGUUUUGUAAACUCUCAGAAAUCUUAUAACAAAAAAUAUUAACAUAUACAAUAACAAAUAAAUACCAUUAGAUUCAUUAUUGAAUGUACUUUCACAUCAUACAUAUUUGUUAUGGUAAAUGUUUAUAUUUUUCUAUAAACUUGGUCAAACUUUAGGAAGUUUGACUUCGGUCAAACCUAAUAUGUAGAGUUUACUACUACUACUCGCUAGUUGCUUAGCCGAAUCACUCAAGACGCCACACAGGGAGUUCAGUGUCACAAAAUUUUGAGGUUGGCGGGAAAAUCUCCUGCGGCCCUGAUUCGAGCAGUGGGAAGUUACCAUCAUAGCCUUUGGAAUAGGCCUACGGAUGACGCUUGGUAGGGGGCUGUUUUCGUAACUUCAGGUUCACCCUACCCAGCCAACCCCACUCCGGCACCCAGAGUAGUACACCUGAAUACUCCCUAUUUUCUAUCCCCACCGCAAAGUAGACUUCUCCACGGCACCGCAGCCUUCGUGCUCCUCCCCUUUACAUCGGCGCACUCGUCCAUCGCAGUGCAUCUGCCUCAUCGAUGACCUCGUACGCCGCACUGGAGCCGAUCCACCGUCAUCGUCAUACUCGGAGCCUCUUCCCCGGCAUCGUCUUCCACGGUCUCGGAUCUGCUUCCUGGAAGCCGAUGCCAAGUGCAGAAGCACCACCGUCGUGGAAAAUGAACUGACUCCCAUUGCCGACCAUGACACACAUAGGCCGCUGCGACCAUCGUUCAUCGUUCUCCUCCUCGAUUGGUAAUGUGUGUAUUGAAUCACUUAGCAGUACAUGUGCAGUUCCAAUUUUGUUCAUACCUGGCCUUCAAAUUUCCUGGGUGCUAUUGUUCCUGUAAAAGUAAUUGGUUAUAGCCUCCAUUGUCCAACAGAAUAUCAGCUUGUAAUUGUGCGUCGCUCCUGUAUCGCGCUGUGCUUGGGUAGGUUUUUCAUCUGCAACCAGUAGUGUGGCAAAUGAUGGAAAGUUUUUUAGAACUAGCAAGAUGCCCAUGCAUUGCACGCAUCAAGAUGCAUUUGUAUGAGUACUUUAUCUUGUGGGAGAAAAGGAUGAACGAGGGAAGGCCUUAUUUGCAAAUCUGGAGAGGGGUAUGGGUAUCUUUUUGCAAAAUUCCCAUUGUUUCCUUCCUAUCUGUCAGAUAUAAAUCGGACGGCCUAUAUUGCAAGAUGGCAGGCACACCAUCAUCACCAACUCUAUUUUUUUAUAAGAAAAAAAAAGUACAGAGAAAAAAAAGUAGAUAGUAGAGAAGUAGAGAUAAAUAUUAAAUAUUAAAUAUUAAAUAAAUAUAAUAGUAGAGAAGAGAGUAGAUAUAGAAGAGACGUCGGGAAAGGAUCGUGCGCGCACGGGAAAAGCGGCCGGGUGUGCGCUAGUUUUGGCGCGCGGCGUCCGGCGCACUUUAUAAAAUCCAACGCCCUCCCACCGCUCUGUGCCUUGCCACCGCUCUCUCCCCGCUUUGUGCCUCACCACCGCCCUCUCCUCGCUCUUUCUUGCCUUGCCGCCGCCACGCCACCAUGCCGCCGCGUCGCCGAGAAACUUGGGGAUGCCAUGGCGUCCGCGCGCGCCCCUCUGAAGGCUUCUCCGCCGAGAUCUGGUUCCGCGGGAUGCACCUCGGCCUCGGCAAUUUCGACACUGCCAAUGAGGCCGCCCGCGCGUACGACGCGGCGGCGUGGAGCCUCCGAUGGCCUCAUAGAAUAUUGAACUUCCCCAACGUGCCGACACGGGAGCAGGCACAGGAGCUCGCGCCUCUGCCGCGGCUUAGCACCGACGAGGAUCGUCGCGACAACCGGAGGCGGGAGCACCAUCUCGGCAUCGCCGAGAUGGAUGAGGAAGCCAUGGCGCUGUGGCGCCAACACUUCCCGCAGGACAUGAUCAACGAGCGUGAGUUCUACACGCAAAGGAGGGCGGAGAGGGAUAAGAGGAGGGCGGAGCGAGCCGCCUAUCGCGAGGACAAGCGUAGGCGAAAAGCGGACGCUCAAUUCAACAUGAGGCUAGGAGCAGCGUCGCCCUGGGAAUCCGAUGAUGAUCGGUAUCUUCACGCCUACAGUCAGACGUCGGAGGAGGACAUAACCGAGGAGGAGUCGGACGACGAGGAGUAGUUGAAUUAUCUUUUUUUAUCUAUCUAUGCUGAGAACUAUUCUCUACUCUCUAGUCCCUACUCUCUAUCUCUACUUCUCGAUCUCAGCAUUGUAAACACUUUUUUAAAGCGCCGCGCAUUGUGAUUCUGUUGGAGAUGCUCUAACAUGGCAGACGAGUGCUUUAAUGUUGCCCACAAGAUGCGCGAGUAUUACUAGUAGUAUAUUUUUCUUGCCAUGUUGAGAUUUUAAAACCACGAGUGCGAACAUACAGAGGAGCAAUGAAGACCAAACACGGGAUAUUGGGGACAUCUUCAAGGAGUGUGGCAAGUUAAAGAGGAGCUGCACCGAACCUGUAAAACGAGCUUUGGUAAGUAACACCCUAUCAAUUGCUUUCGUUUAGCCUCGUGUUCUUCGAUGUGUAUAUGUUGUAAUUUCUGUUUCUCUUAAGCCUGGUGUUCUUCGAUGUGUAAUAAGAAGAGUCUUAAUCAUCCUAAUGCUUUCGUUUUUAGGUUGAUGUAGGAAGUGGGUGUUCUCACCUUGUAGUCUAUUUUUAUAUAUAUAUUUUUCCUUUUGAAUUCACUUCUUCGAGUUCUGUUUAUCUGGCUUCUACUAAAUGGAUCUGGGUUGCUCUGAGUAUUGAUCUAAAAAAGAAGUAACUUCAUGUCAGGAUGCAGUUCCUUCGAGGAGGGAAGUAUGGUCAACCUCGAGAUCAUGUUUCCAAAAUGAGGCUGGAUUACACACAAGGUGCCAGUUCCCUAAUGAUGCUGGAUUAGACACAAGGUGCAAAUUCCCAGAUGAUGCUGGAUUACACACAAGCCAGGUGGAGUCGUUAGCUGUUCGUGUCCUCGUGGCUCUAGUAAUGGCUGAAAGAAAGCGUGCAGCAGCCCUUGAGAAUGUAGCUGAGUUCCUGAAGAAGCGAAAAGAGCAGUCAGAUGCUCUCUUCACCCAAGCCAAAGAAGAGAUGGAAGAAGCCAGAAAUAAGCUAGCAGUGGCGGAGCAGGCUAGGCGUCUCCUGCUAUCUAAAACCGUUGUCAAUACAAAAUUUCCUUCAUAAUAGCUAGGUUCAAAUGUUUAUCCAGUCAACAUGCCUGUUGUGAUGUCCGUGCAUCUACUGACGUGGUACAAAAUAUUUUUUUCGGGUCAUGUAAUAACAGCAAUUACUUUCCAAACAAUAACAGACGAAGCAUUGGACAUGGUAUUCACGCGCAAGCCCAACAUUCCAAGUUCAACUUCCACAUCAAACUCAUGUUCACAGAUAUCUGCACAUUCAUACAUAAUGUCCACAACCAUGAUUCACUUUGAAGCCAAAAAAAUGUGAGGAGAGUUAUAAAUAAAGAAAAACCUCUACUAGUUACUGCUACCAGUGCGAGCACAACAAGUCAAGACCAUGCGUAAAUUAAUUAUAUUUUAGUCAUUUUUUGUGUUCUAAAAUGCAUGCCGGCUCGCGGAAGGACAUGUUGCCAGCACACGUGCGGAUUCAAUGAAGGCAGGCGGGGCAGUCUUAAGCUGGUUGCACGCGGUGAGGAGGCGUGCUCAGCCGGGCCUGCAGCGAGUGGGGCCCUCUUGGCCGGCGCGCCGGUUCAAUGCCUGCGCUAUGAGAGGUCGCGUCCGUGUUAGAGAAAUCACUCCCUCCAGUCCUUUUUUGUUUGGGUAUAACAAAAUCUCAUUUUCCAUUCACAUUUUACAAGUAAAAUUCGUGGACAAACUUUGACCCAAAAUAAGAUGGGGACUAGUAAACCAGAAUGGAGGUAGUAGUUUUUUUUAAUCAAAGAAGGGUUUCCCCUUCCGAUUUUCAUUACUGAAAACCAGCAUCUAAAUCUAAACCAUAGUAUUUGCCCUAGAACUACCAGGUUCAACAUCUCGCAACAUAAACCCAUACAACCAUGCGCCAAGGAGGUACGUAGUACUAUGAAUUCCAUUUUUGCUCCAUACCAAUCAUUCUAAAAACUACUUAGUACUUAUAACGCGCCAUUGAAAAUCGGAACACUUAACCCCGCUAAAAAAAAUGAUAUUUUAAAUGUGGCUACUCGAUCUGUGGCAACUGGCGAGCCACCGCGCUCCAAGUCGUUCACCUGUGGUCCCGACCAUCAACUCCUACGGAUCAAAUUAUCACGCGUGCUGACUAUUCCUACAAAGGUGCUCCACCACGUACCCGGUACCCGCGAAUGCAGCAAUCGUGCACCUAGGGUUUUAGGGUUUAUUUGUUAACGUCGCCUUUACGUAACACUCAUGUGUGCGAGACAGUGAGAGGCCGAUUGCGUGCGUGCGCCUCUUCUCUUUGUAUAUAUACUCCACCAUUUGUCUGGUGUCCAAAAAAUUAUAAUAACUACUAGCAAUGUGCCAAUGCGUUGCCACACGAUCAAAGAAGAUUAAUACAUAUUCACCGAUUUGAUAGAAAAAAAAGUCUAGUUUUGAAAUACGUAUAUCACUAAAAAUAUGUUAUGUUUCACUCAAAAUAUAUUCCUUUGGCGGUUUUGAUGAGAUAAGGGAGGAAUGUUGUUGGUUUCAAGAUUCGAGAAGUGGUAUAUGUCUAAUUUCUACUCUUACUAGCAAGAUGUCUGUGCGUUGCACGGAACAUUGGCCUUUACGCAACCAAUUAGUUGACAUCUAAAUAAAAUGCUAACCGAAACGGGAAAAUAAAAUGCUCACCACGACCACCUAAAUAUUUAUGUUUACUACUCAAGCAAAUAACAAUAUUGCACGCAACUUCGAAAAAUAAAUGUUUGCUCAAAUAUACCCUUGAAGCGUGCGCGCGAACGACGAACGGCGGCCUUGAAUCACCGGUACCGGAGCCGGAAACUCCACCAAACUCCCGCAGCUUCACCUCCACCACCACCUCCACCUCCACCAUCGCCACAACCUCCACCUCCGCCUCCACAACCUCCACAAAUGAGCUGAAAAAAUGCUCCAACAAAAUCUUCACCACAACCACCACAAGCUACCCCAUCAGUAGAUCGAGGUGUCUUUUGGCUCCUCUAGCUAAGUAGAACCCAUUCACGGUGCCAAAUCCGCAAAAAAACAGGUCAUUUUGGUGUAUUAAUUGGAGCUAUUUCGGGUUGGAGAGAGGAGGAACCAAGAACAGAGAGAUGCGCAUGGUGGUGGGGAAAGGAAACGGGAAGGAGGAAGGAGAAAAGAGGCAGCGCUGGGGUCCGCUCCCUAUCGGCCAGCAACCGGCCGAUCGGUCGGCAGCUGGCCGACUGGGGCGCCCGUGACCCAGCCCGCGCCGACAGCUCCCGGGCGACGUGGAACGGCCAAUAGUUGGCCCACGCGUGGCCGAUUGCCCACCUGUCGGCCCGCAGUUGGCCGAGAAGGCCCUGUCGGCCUGCAGCUGGCUGACUAGGCUCAGUCGGCCAGCUGCUGGCCGAUUGGAUAAUAUUUUCGAAAAAUAUUAUAUCAGCGUAAUAUUUUUGUAAAUUAAUAAAAAAAUGUAUUAUUUAAAAAAAGUUAGCGAAAAAAAGGGACGUAUGGUCACUUGGCCGGCUGCUCGUGCAGAAGAGGCCGACUACUUGCUAGCCGACUGGUAAAAAAGAGAGAAGUCAAGGGCUGUGUGCCCAACCGACUGGCUAUGGAAAAAAUGUCCGGCUGCCCGGCCGAAGAGAAAAUAAUUAGAGGGAGGCUGGCCGGGUCAGCGCAGUACACCGGCUCCGGAAAAAAGAAAGAGAGAGAGAGAGAGAGAGAGAGAGAGAGAGAGAAAGAGGUCGGCUGGGACAAAGAGAAGAAAAGGAAAAAAAAGGUCCGGAUGACUCGUCCGCCUGCUUCAUCACUCGGAGGGUCAGUCAUGACCCGCGCUGUCGGCUGUGCCAAACCGGCUGGGCUGCCUCCUGCUCUGACGCUACACCCAGCGGGUGCGCUAACGCGCCCCUGCGAGAAAGAAGACAAAGUAGUUGCUGGGAGAUCCGGCCUGACUGCUUAGCAGUUAGCCCGAAUCUCGGGGGCUACACCUAGCGGGUGCACUGACACGCUCCCGCGAGCAAGAAGACAAAGUAGUUGCCGGGAGAUCCGGCCCGACUGCUCAGCAGUCGGCCCGAAUCUCGGGGGCUACACCCAGCGGGUGCGCCGACGUGCCCCCGCGAGGAAAGAAGACAAAGUAGUUGCCGGGAGAUCCGGCCCGACUGCUCAGCAGUCGGCCCGAAUCUCGGGAGCUACACCCAGCGGGUGCGCUGACACGCCCCCAUGAAGAAGAAGACAAAGUAGUUCCCGGAAGAUCCGGCCCGACUGCUCAGCAGUCGGCUUGAAUCUCGGGGGCUACACCCAGUGGGUGCGCUGGCUCAUGGAAGAUUGCAAACAAGAGAAGAGUUUUGUCCGGCUGCCAGCAGCCGGCAGAAGAAAAAGAAGAAAAAGGGCGUUGCAAGAUGCCUCGCCGCCUGGCCGGUCGAGCCUGACCGGCCGGGAGCCCCCUUCGACCACCCGGGGGCUCAAAGGAUACACCCAGCGGGUGCGCCGGCGCACUCCGCAAGCGCCGAGCCGCGCUGGCUGUCUUCGGCAAACUCCGCCUCGGCUACACGAAAAUAAAUGUGAGCUCCUCACCCGCAUAUUUUGCACCACGCAAGCAUGGAUAACCUCGAGCAAUGCUCGGUGGCUAUCUCCGCAUUUUAUUACAGUUGCAUCACUGUUCGCCCCAGCGCCAGCCAGAGUUGGCCCGGGGGCUGGCCGCUUGGCCUGAGACGUUAGUUCUCGCAGACGGUUUAGUAACGUGCGCGAUACCAAAGGCCCACUCUCAGUCACAGACCGUAGAGCGGCUGUCCGGCUGGCAAGAGUGAACGCUAGAGGCCACCCACGCGAAAAACGUCCGGGAAGAAAAAUGCUUCGGGUGAUCCGGCCGUUUCCUUUAUGAGUAUCUGCUCGGUUAAAUCCGCUCCCAGAGUCUGAGUACUGUACACUCCACUUCGCGGCCCACUCUCAGCCACAGACAGCAGAGCGGCUGUCCGGCGAGCGAGAGCACAAGCCAAAAAGCGGAGGGAACACGAAAAAGAUUGAAGGGGGCUCGGACGAAACCGAGUCGGCACCCUACGCAUAAAACUUGCAAUGCUAAAAGCAAUCAUUUGAUAUAUCUUCGUGGACUAACUUUGUCUUUUGCAUGAUCAUUUCCAUGAACACCCACCAAAAAACCUCCGCCCAACUUUGCCAGGUUGCCCGGAGGCUUGGGGGCUACUGUCGGAGUAAUUGGCGAUGGGUACCCCGAAGAUGGCAAGACAAUAAUUCAAGACAUCGGGGCUAGCAAAGCCCCUCAGUCUGACUGCUCGGCCGCUCCUGCCGGCUUCCCGUCCGUCUGCUCUGCCCGACCGGCUGCCGGCUGCCGACUGUGCCAACCAGCCGGCUGCCGACUACGCCAACCAGCCGGCUACCGACUGCAGCCCGACCCGACACUGACAAGACACCAACGGGACGACCAUACUGCAACGUCAUCUACAGUGUACCGUGUCCCCUGGGUACUGAUUUAUAAAGUACCCCAGGGGACAAGAAUGACAUGCACCAUGCCACUAGCUAUGCCUACAUAGCUUGGCUUCUAAGCUACCCAAGGUAGCUUACAACCAAAGCCACUACCACCCAUGCCACUAGCUAGCUUACACAUUAAGCUAGCUACACACUAUAAAAGGAGGCCUCAUCCAUCCAUCCAGGAGGAUGGACUCCCACGGCCACACACUCCCCCACGACCAUGCUUGGCCACUAGAGCAUGCAUGCUCACUCCGGACACACACAUAUACAGAGUCAGAUGCCCAUGACACUGAUCCCAGAUACAGCUCUAGGAGCACUUUGUACUGCCUGAUGUACACCCGAGAUAUAUACUCAGACAUGCAGGAGUAGGGGUGUUAUCUCUCCGGAGAGCCCCGAACCUGGGUAAACUACUGCGUGUUAUUCGCAUACCCGCUCCCGGGCCUAUCAGCGGCAGUCUUGCCCUCACACGAAGCCACCUUGUGGCAUAUGUCGUCUUGCACCCCCCCCCCCCGUGAGAAUACCACGACAUCAAUGAUUUACAUUAUAUUGUUGUAACUAGGCGACGGUCAAUCUAGAUAGUCAUGAUGAGCAAAGCUUGCUUGUGCUUUUCAAGGAAGCAUUGCAGCAGUAUCGAUGUUACCUGAGGAAAUCACACUUUCAUGGCAAGUCUAUAAACGAAUUUCCGGUGAAGUCUCCUGUGCUAAAUUUAGAAGACAUUGAAUGGAAAAACCUUGUUAUGCACUGGUCUCGUUCACAGGAUGAGGUACUGUCUAUGAAAUCACAUGACAAUUUGAACUUCAACUUUUCCGCAUGUGCCUUACGGAUCUUUUUUGCAGGAAAUCUGCUCGAAGAAGAAUUCUGGUUUGAAAAGAACGACAGGAUAUUGCAAAUAUGUUGCCCGCUGCUUUGCUCUUGUUAGUACCUGUUGUCCCAAGAAAAAGUAUGAAGCUCAAUUCUCUACUUGGCUAGAUGCUUGGCUGUAAACAUUUGUAUAGUUCCCUUUGUUCUUUUUUCAGUCCCUAUUUCUUUUAGCUAUAGAUUAGUUUUCUUUUUUAGUUUUCUUCUUCUUUUUUGUUUUUCAUUCUUUUAUGUGGGCUUACCUCAAGCCCCCAAGACAAUUGUUGUUUAUUUUCUAUUUUAAUAAAAGCUGCAGUGGGGUGUUUACCCUACUGUUUAUAGUCAAAAAAAGUAUCUGUUGUCCUGUAUCACUGUACUUGCAUACAUACCUAGUUCAUUAUGUGACAGCAGUAUGCAUGAUAGCUUGCUUAUUAAUUGUUUGCUCCAAAUUAUCUAAUCUGUAUGAAUGGUUACAUUAGUGUAGAAUAUAUCCAAUGCCAAUGAAUUUUUUUAGCUCUGCAUUGUUCUUGUAAGUACAUGUUGUCCUUUAUCAGUGUACUUAUAUUGACUGGUAGUUGUUCAUGUACCAUCACUCUGCAGCUUAUUUUCCUUCGCCCUCCACUUUCUACACACCAGAUCUAUAUUUACUCUUACCAUAAGGUUGGUACUGAAGAAUUUUAGCUGUGCAUUGCUCUUGGCUGUACCUUUUGCCUGUAUCGCUGCACUUACAUUUAUAGCUACUUGUUUAUGUAGCAUCACUCUUCAUCUUAUCUUAAAUAUUCUCCAUUUUUUUAUAUUAUCACAUCUAUAUUUACUCUUAACAAAAUGUAGAAUAAAGGCAAUGCUUAUGAAGAAGAUUCUAUGGUAAACUUCUUGAAUUGCCCCCCCCCCCCAUCAGCAUGGACAAGGGCUUUAUAGAGCCUGACUUCACCAAUAAUGUAAGUUUGUCCUUCUCAAGCCUUCAAACUUUGUUGUGUAUAUUUGGUUAGGCAUGACUGCAACAGCUAUUUAUUUUUGGUGUUUGCAUCAAAUUGCAUGUUUAAAGUUUAUUAUGUAGUUCAUAAACAAAAGUUUGUCCUUCUCAAUUUAAGUUUUCAGUUGUACAACCAAGUUCCUUCUUCAUACCAUGUAAAUUAAACUAUACAGAGCAAGUGAUCUUCUUUUGCACUGCAUGUAUGCUUCAGUUCUUCAUCCGUAAUCCAGUGGUGUGGUGAACCUACCCACUACAGCACAAUGUCACAUUCUGCAAUGUCUUAACUAUGAACAAUGUCAUAUCAUUCUACUAUUAUUUAAACCAUCUCUUUAUUUGCCAAUCUGAAAUGGGAUAAAUUGACAGCACACUAACCAUUGAUACUUAUGAGUUCGUGAUCUGUAAUCCAGUGGUGUCGUGAAGCUGCCAACUCCUUCACAAUGUCAUUUCCUGCCAUGUCUUGACCUGAACAAUACCAUAUAGUGUUAAUGCAAUUUUAAACUGUGUCACUUUAUUCGUUAGUAAAAAAUGUGAUGAAUUGUCAGCACGGAUACUUUUAUGUGCAAAACCUGUCAUUUGUCUGCUUGUUUAUCUUUCAGAGUGAGGAAGAUAUAAGUGUUGAACAAGCGUAGUCUCAUCAGCUUGCUCAGCUGCUUGGCUGCAGCUCCCCAGCAGGGCUAACCUUUCUUGAACUCUAUUGAAUUGCUAUCGGUUUUGUAUAUUAUUUUGUCGGCGUGUUUAUUUGCACUCGUGGCGAUCUUUGAUGCCCAUUGUAUGUAAUAUGCUGUCUGUUUGUGCUUUAUUAUCAUAGUGGCGAACUUUGAUGCCCAGUGGAUGUAAUAUGUCGUAAUUUCUUUAUUGUAUAGUCUAGGUUUUUUUCUUAUUCACGAUGCUGCAAUUAUUUUACUGUAUAUAUAUCUUGUCUUCGCAGUAAACCGGCCAAACCAUAAAAUUACGGUACAUAAUCGGGCCGUCAUGCAAUCACGAUGUAUGAUCCGCAUCAUGGGCCCCGUCAUCUUGGUCCGUUAAAAGGCCAAAAGUAAACUAGCCCACUAGUAGAUUCGGGCCUUUAAUAGGCCGAGUAACCCCUGGCCCUCUUUUCCCAAGAAAACUCAAUGGGCUUUUAGGAGGCUAAGAAGUAGGUUGGGCCUGAAACGUGCCGAACAGCUCACGGGCCGGCAACAGCCUGAAAUGGACCCCGGCCCAUGAUUGUGCGAAUCAAAUCACAGGAUUUUAAUAGGCCAAAAUUGUCUUGGUCCUUGUUUGGCCCAAUCAGAUAUCGGCUGCGAGCAGGCCGGAUGCAAACUGGGCCGUAGUUAGGCCCAACUAUAUGACGGGCUUUUAACAUGCCAAAAUUAAUAUAGGGCUGAAAUGUUAAACGGGCCCUUAACAGGCCGAAACUAAUAUUAGGCCGAAUUACUAAAUGGGCCAUUAGCAACUGGGCCCAAAAGCAUAGCGUCCAGUUGACGGGUCGAAUCUGAUAUGGGCCAUAAUUUAGCCCAAAGCCUCUUAAAGGGACGGACCUGAUCUGGGCCGUAAUUUGGCCCAGAACGUGGUAGGCUUUUAACGGGCCGGAUCUCAUAUGGGCCAUUAUUAGGCCCGGAACGUGGCAGGCCAUUAAUGGACCGGACCAAAUAUAGGUCGGCAUUUGGCCCAAAACAUGGCAGCCAGUUAAUGGGUCGGCCUACUAGGGUCCUCAAAAUCUUGUGGGCCUACAGCUGGGCCAACCCAUUAAUGUCGGUGAAAUCUCAUGGGCCUUUAGCUCGGCUGGCCCAUUAUGAUCCACAAGAAUCUUGUGGGCCUUUACCUGGGCCGGCCCAUUAUGGCACACAAAAAUCUUGUGGGCCUUUACCUGGGCCGGUCCAUUAUGGCCCGCAAAAUCUUGUGGGCCUUUAGCUGGGCUAGCCCAUUAUGUUCCACAAAAUCUCAUGGGCCUUUAGCUGGGCUGGCCCAUUAUGGUCCGCAAAAUCUUGUGGGCCUUUAGUUGGGCCAGCCCAUUUAAACUUGAUGGGCCGGUCCACAUGUCAACAUGUCAUAGGCGCGUCUCGCCCAUUGGAUGAGUGACACAUGUGCCAACGUGGAGCUGACACGUGUCUACUCUAGCCAAUGAUGAUUUUACACGUGGAAAAUCCCCAUUGGUCGGGGCUGUUAACGGGUUAUCGGAUCCAAAACCCGACCCGAUAGCUUAACGGCGUUCCGUUAUGGUGGAUGCCACGUGUCGGUCACGCUUGACGAAAGCACUUCUGUGACGCGCGAUUUAUCGUCAUGGAAGUGGAAACUUCCGUGAUGAUAAUUUUGGUAAUGUCAUGGAACACUUCUACAACAGCACAGGUAUGACUAUCUUGAUUCUGUCAUAAAAUCGUCAUGGAUGUACAUGCAUGACAAAAAACGCGACCUAUUGUGACAAACACAUAUCAUCACGGAAGUGUAUUUUUUGUAGUGGUGGUAUGUAUUUAGCAACAAUAUAAUUAGCAUAGUCAGCAUACCAAGGUGUACUAUUAGAAACAUUUAUUGCAACUAAUUGUUCAUCAGGAAAGCUAUCAUUAAUAGGUUGUGGGUCAUCAAGAAUAUUUUCAAGCCUAGACAAGUUAUCAGCUACGGGGUUCUCUGCUCCUUUCCUAUCAAUGAUAUGCAAAUCAAAUUCUUGUAGCAGAAGAACCCACCUAAUGAGUCUAGGUUUAGCAUCUUUAUUUUCUAUAAGAUAUUUUAUAGCAGCAUGAUCGGUGUGAACAAUUACUUUAGAGUCAACAAUGUAAGAUCUGAAUUUAUCACAAGCAAACACCACUGCUAAGAAUUCUUUUUCAGUAGUAGCAUAAUUUUGUUUAGCACUGUCUAGAGUUUACCUAGCAUAAUGAAUAGCAUUCAGUUUCUUAUCAACUCUUUGUCCUAGAACAACACCAAUAGCAUAAUCACUGGCAUCAUACAUAAUCUCAAAAAGCAAGUUCCAAUCAGGUGGUUGAACAACAGGUGCAGUAAUUAAGGCUUUCUUUAGUGUUUCAAAGGCUUCCAAACAAUCAUCAUCAAACACAAAGGGAAUAUCCUUUUGCAAAAGAUUCGUAAGAGGCCUGGAAAUUUUAGAGAAGUCUUUGAUAAACCUCCUAUAGAAACCAUCAUGACCAAGGAAACUACGAAUACCUUUGAUAUCUUUAGGACAUGGCAUUUUCUCAAUUGCAUCAACCUUGGCUUUGUCCACCUCAAUGCCUCUCUCAGAAAUUUUAUGGCCCAAGACAAUACCUUCGUUAACCAUAAAGUGGCACUUGUCCCAUUUCAAGACGAGAUUUAAUUGUUCACAUAUCUGCAAGACUUGAUCAAGAUUGCUUAAACAAUCAUCAAAAGACUUCCCAUAAACCGAAAAGUCAUCCAUGAAAACCUCAACAAUCUUUUCACAAAAUCAGAGAAUAUAGCAAUCAUACAUCUUUGAAAGGUAACAGGUGCAUUACAUAAACCAAAAGGCAUAUGUCUAUAAGCAAAUGUUCCAAAAGGACAAAUAAAAGUGGUCUUUUCUUGAUCAGGUUGUAAAACAGGUAUUUGUGAAAAAAAAAAUAGAAUAUCCAUUAAGGAAGCAAAAAAUGUGUGUGCUUGGAUAAUCUUUCUAACAUUUGAUCAAUAAAAGUCAGAGGGUAAUGAUAUUUUCUAGUUGCUUUGUUUAAUUUUCUAUAAUCAAUUACCAUCCUAUAGCCUAUGACAAUUCUUUGUGGAAUAAGCUCAUUCUUAUCAUUAGGAACAACAGUAAUACCUCCUUUCUUAGGGACACAAUGAACAUGACUUACCCAUCUACUAUCAGCUAUAGGAUAGAUUAUAUCUGCUUCCAAAAGUUUCAAUAUUUCCGUUCUUACCACUUCUUUCAUCUUUGGAUUUAACCGCCAUUGGUGAUCAACAAGGGUUUAGCAUGAGGUUCCAUAUUAAUCUUGUGCUGACGUAGAGUGGGACUAAUGCCCUUAAGAUCAUCAAGAGUAUAUCCAAUAGCAGCCAUGUGCUUCCUUAGAACUUUCAAUAGUCUUUCUUCUUCAUGUUCUGAAAGGUUAGCACCAAUAAUAACAAGAUAUAUCUUUUUCUCAUCAAGAUAAGCAUACUUCAAAGUGUCUGGCAAUUGUUUUAAUUCAAACACAGGAUCGCCUGUAGAUGGAGGAGGACCUCCUAGAGUUUCAAUAGGCAAAUUGUGUUUAAGCAGAGGUUGUUGUUUGAAAAAGAUUCUAUCUAUUUCAUUUCUUUCACGCAUAUGCAAAUCAUUUUCAUGGUCUAGCAAAUAUUGUUCGAAAGGAUCAAUAGGAGGCACAGCAACAAAAGCAAGACCAAUAAUUUCAUCCUUACUAGGCAAAUCUUUCUUAUGAGGUUGUCUGCUAAACUUGGAAAAAUUAAAUUCAUGAGAUUCAUCACCAAAGUUAACACCAACAGUUUGUUUCUCACAAUCUAUUUUGGCAUUGGCAGUGUUCAAGAAAGGUCUACCAAAAAUAAUGGGACAAAAGUCAUCUUGUGGGGAGCUAAGAACAAGAAAAUUAGUAGGGUAUUUUAUUUUCCCACACAAGACUUCAACAUCUCUAAGAAUCCCAAUUGAUGAUAUAGUAUCUCUAUUAGCAAGUUUAAUAGUGACAUCUAUGCCUUCUAUUUCGGCAGGUGCUAUUUCAUCUUUAAUUUACUGAUAUAAGGAAAAGGAAUAGCAAUAACACUAGCAUCUAGGUCACAUAACCCAUGAUAAUAGUGAUCUCCUAUCUUAACUGAGACAACAGGCAUGCCAACAAUUGGUCUAUAUUUAUCUUUUCCUUCAGGUUUGGCAAUUCUAGAAGCUUCACCACAUAAGUAAAUAGCAUGCUCAUCAAUAUUAUCAACUAAGAGAUCUUUAACCAUAGCAACACUAGGUUCAACUCUGAUUUGUUCAGAUGGUUUGGGUGUUCUAACAUAACUUUUGUUAACCACAGUUGAAGCUUUAGCAUGUUCCUUCAUCCUAACAGGGAAAGGUGGUUUUUCAAUAUAAGCAGUGGGAACAAUUGGAUCAACAUUGUAAAUGAUAGUCUCUUCUUUAGCUUUCACCGGUUCUUUAGCUUCUUCUUUAAUAGGUGGGUGGUAUCUAAACCAUUUCUCCUUAUGGAGAUCAACAUGAGUAGCAAAAGAUUCACAAAAGGAAGCUACUAUCUCAGAGUCAAGUCCAUAUUUAGUGCUAAACUUUUGAAAAGCAUCGGUAUUCGUAAAAGAUUUAACACAAUCAAACUUAGGUUCAAUAACUGACUCUUUACCUUCGUCGAGUUCCCAAUCUUCAGAGUUGCAUUUAAUUCUUUCUAAAAGAUCCCACCGGAAUUCAAUAGUCUUCUUCAUAAAAGAAUCAGUGCAAGAAGUAUCGAGCAUGGUUUGAUCAUUACGAGAAAGCCGAGCAUAAAAAUUCUGAAUAAUAAUUUCUCUUGAGAGCUCAUGAUUGGGGCAUGAAUAUAACAUUGACUUAAGCCUCCCCCAAGCUAGAGCGAUACUUUCUCCUUCACGAGGCCAAAAAUUAUAUAUAUAAUUCCGAUCACGAUGAACUAGAUGCAUGGGAUAAAAAAUUUGGUGAAAUUCCAAUUUCAAACGGUUCCAGUUCCAAGAUCCAAUAUCAUCGCAUAGCCUAUACCAUGUCAAUGAUUUUCCCUUCAAAGAUAAAGGGAAAACCUUCUUCUUAGCUUCAUCUCCAGGCAAACCUACAAGCUUAAACAAUCCACAAAUUUCAUCCACAUAUAUCAAGUGCAUAUCAGGAUGUUCGAUUCCAUCUCCUGCAUAAGGAUUAGCUAGCAGUUGUUCUAACAUACCCGAAGGAAUUUCAUACUCAAUAUUUUCAGUAGGUGUAGUAGGUUGAGGGGCAAUUAAUUGUAGUUCCGUUCGAGGUGAAGAUACCCUGAACAAACCCCUCAAAGGAUUGUUUUCCAUAGUAGCAAGUGACAAUAAAUUUCAGCACGUAAUAAUAAUGUUUCCUUACCAAUUUCCACUUACCAAGAGCGCUUCACUCCCCGGCAACGGUACCAGAAAAUAGCCUUGCUGACCCACAAGUAUAUGGGGUCAAUUUUAGCCUUUUCAAUAAGUAAGAGUGUUGAACCCAAUGAGGAGCAGAAGAAAAUGACAAGUGGUUUUCGGCGAGGUAUUGUGUGCAAGUGCUAAAAUUGUAAGUAGCGGAGUAGUUUGAUAGCAAGAUAAUUUGUAAUGAGCAAGUAACGAUAGUAGUAACAAAAGUGCAUCAAGGUAGCCCAAUCCUUUUGAGGCAAAGGACAGGCCAAAACGGUCUCUUAUGAUAAGCAAAGUGUUCUUGAGGGUACACGGGAAUUUCAUCUAUUCACUUUCAUCAUUUUGGCUUAAUUCGUGUUCGGUACUUUGAUAAUUUGAUAUAUGGGUGGACCGGUGCUUAGGUGCUGUUCUUACUUAAACAAACCUCCUACUUAUGAUUAACCAUCUUGCAAGCAUCCGCAACUAUGAGAAAAGUAUUAAGAAUAAAUUCUAACCAUAGCAUUAAACUUUUGGGUCCAAUUGGUCCCUUACGGAAUAGCGCAUAAAGUGGGGUUUAAACUUUUGUCACUCUCGCAACCCACCAUCUAGUAAGUACUCCACAAUGCAUUCCCUUAGGUGCUAAUAUGGUGAAGUGUCAUGUAGUCGACGUUCACAUGACACCACUAAGAGAAUGACAACAUACAUAUCAUCAAAAUAUCAAACACAUAUCAAGUUCACAUGAUUACUUGCAACAUGAUUUCUCCCGUGACCUCAAGAACAAAAGUAACUACUCACAAAUGAUAAACAUGCUCAAGAUCAGAGGGGUAUUAAAUAGCAUAAUGGUUCUGAACAUAUAAUCUUCCACCAAAUAAACCAUAUAGUAAUCAACUACAAGAUGUAAUCAACACUACUAGUCACCCACAAGCACUAGUCUAUAGUUUUGGUACAAGAUUGAACACAAGAGAUGAACUAGGGUUUGAGAUGAGUUGGUGUUGUUGAAGAUGUUGAUGAAGAUAGCCCUCCCCAAGAUGGGAGAGUUGUUGGUGAUGAUGAUGGCAAUGAUUACCCCUCCGUGAGGGAAGUUCCCCCAGCGGAAUCACUCCACCGGAGGGCAAAAGUGCUCCUGCCAAAGUUCUGCCUCAAAGCGGCGGCGCUUCGUCCCAAAAGUCCUCCUCUGAUUUUUUUUUCUAGGUCAAAAUGACUUAUAUACCAGAAGAUGGGCACCGGAGGUGGGUCGAGGAGGGCAGCACCCACCAGGGCGCGCCUGAGCCUCCUGGCACACCCAGGUGGGUUGUGCCCACCUGGUGGCCCCCCUCUGGUACUUAUUUGCUCCAAUAAUUAUUAAAUAUUCCAUAAAAAUCCUCAGGAAGUUUCAGCUCAUUUGAAGUUGUGCAAAAUAUGUAGCUUGAUGUAGCUUUUUCAGGUCCAGAUUUCCAGCUGCUAGAAUUCUCCCCCUUGGUGCGUACCUUGCAUAUUAUGAGAGAAAGGGCAUUAGAAUUACUCCAAAAAGCAUUAUUAUACAAUAAAACAACAUGGAUAAUAGUAGGAAAACAUGAUGCAAAAUGGACGUAUUAUUCUCUAUGGUUCUUUUUGGUGGAUUUGAGUCAUAGGAAAAUCAUACUAUUAAGAGGGGGUCCGCUUCGGAAAGGUUAGGGUGGAAUCAUCACGUACACAUCUAUUCCUUUGCACCACCUUUCCUUCGCAUCAAUGGAGAACCGUCCAUUUAUCCAAGUCUCUAUGAUAUGAAGUUUGCCAAAUGCUAAAGCAUCUGUGACGUGCGGUAGUACUGCUCAAGGGAGUAGUAGUACCGCAGGUGUAGUACUGCUCAGCAGAGCGGUAGUACCGCUCCUGGUGAGCGGUAGUACCGCGGCCUCCAGUCCUGACGCUAGUGCAUGCGGUAGUACGCGCGGAUGUAAUUUUUUACUUCCGCCCCUUCGCGGUAGUACCGCUCCCUGUGAGCGGUAGUACCAUGCCGGAUUUUUGCACAACUCCAACCUCAGCUGAAGUAGUUACGGAUGUAAUUUUUUACUUCCGUGCUUUUUCCAAGCACCAAUUGAACCCUGCCUUACGGUAGUACUGUAGGGGCGCGCGGUAGUACCGCUCAUUGCCCUGUGCAACAGGCCCACACCUGAUCACUACCGCUCUAGCGGUAGUACCACAGCACUCUGCAGUAGUACCGCAGCACUCUGCCGUAGUACCGCAGCCUUGUGCAGUAGUACUGCGCCGUGCGGGCUGAGAAAGGGGAUAAUGGUUGGAUCUUUUCCCCCACUAUAUAAAGGGGGUCUUCUUCCCCAAGAAGACCACCUCUUCCCUCCCCAAGCUCCAUUGUUGCUCAAACCUCCAUUUUCGCAUGAUCUCUCUCCCUAGCCAAUCAAACUUGUUGAUUUUCUAGGGAUUGGUUGAGAAGGCCCCAAUCUACACUUCCACCAAGAGAAAUUUGAGUCCCCCACUAAUCCCUUGUGGAUCUUGUUACUCUUGGGUGUUUGAGCGCCCUAGACGGUUGAGGCCACCUCGGAGCCAUAUUCCAUUUUGGUGAAGCUUUAUGGUGUCAUUGGGAGCCUCCAAUUAAGUUGUGGAGAUAGCCCCAACCUUGUUUGUAAAGGUUCGGUCGCUGCCUUCAAGGGCACCAAUAGUGGAAUCAUGGCAUCUCGCAUUGUGUGAGGGUGUGAGGAGAAUAUGGUGGCCCUAGUGGUUUCUUAGGGAGCAUUGUGCCUCCACACCGCUUCAACGGAGACGUACUUCCUCUCAAAGGGAAGGAACUUCGGUAACACAUCCUCAUCUCCACCGGCUCCACUCUUGGUUAUCUCUUACCUUUACUUGUGCAAGCUUUCAUUGUGUUGUAUCCCGUGCUUGCUUGUGUGCUUGUUGUUGUUGCAUCAUAUAGGUUGCUCACCUAGUUGCACAUCUAGAUAACCUACUUUGAUGCUAAGUUUAAUUUGGUCAAGAAAAGCUAAAAAUUGUUAGUUGCCUAUUCACCCCCCCCCCCUCUAGUCAACCAUAUCGAUCCUUUCAUUAUCUCCAGACUAGAUCGUACAACCUCCCUCUCUCCCCACAGCAACGGGUGCUUGAACGGGCCAACUCCGGCCACCGGAUCCGCUUCCCCACCAGUUGCCGGCCCCAAUACAAUGGAUACAUGGUAGGAAGACCUCGUCUUCCACUGAGAUUCAGCGAGGCAAUUUUGCGGCGAGGCGUGUCUGUCCCGGCCAUCGACGGGCCCGAUGACGACGGCAAGGUAGUGGCUUCACAGGCUGGCGCCGGAUCCGGCACCCAUAAUGCAGCUCAGCAGCCUCCGUGUCCAUCCCAUCCCCAGCGAGAUCUGCGCGUGAGCACGAGCACCACGACGGGUCACGGCGCACGGGUGUAGCUGUAUCCGGCGACUCCAAGUCUGACCGCCACCGGAUCUGGUGAGUCAUGAAUCCCAUCUACCCUAACCUCUCUCCAUAUGCACUUCAUGAUUUCGGAUUUAUUUAGCAUGAUUUGAACAUUCUUUGUUUCUUUACCAUAUCAUCGGCUUCCCCUGCUACUUCAGUUUCAGAUAUUUGCAACUUGAUUUGAACAUUCUUUGUUUCUUUAUCAGAUCGUCGUCCUCCCCUGCUACUUCAACUUCAGAUAUUUGCAACUUGAUUUGAACAUUCUUUGUUUGUGAUAGGGAGCAUGGGUUAUAGUUUUUUGAAAGAGAUGGAGAUCUAUGAAAUUACUUCCCUGUAAUAUUUGAAUGUGGUGUUUGAUACGUCUCUAACGUAUCUUAUAUUUAUGAAGCAUUCAUGCUAUUUUAUUAUCUGUUUUGAAUGAUAUAGGCUUUAUUAUACACUUUUAUAUUACUUUUGGGACUAACCUAUUAACCGGAGGCCCAGCCCAUAUUGCUGUUUUAUUGCCUGUUUCAGUAUUUCGAAGAAAAGGAAUAUCAAACGGAGUCCAAACGGAAUGAAACCUUCAGGAGCGUGAUUUUUAGGAAGAAUAUGAUCCGGGAGACUUCGAGUUCACGUCAGAAGAUCCUCGAGGAGGCCAUGAGAUAGGGGGGCGCGCCCACCCCCUAGGCGCGCCCUACCCUCUCGUGGGCCCCUUGAGGCUCCCUCGACUGACUUCUUUCACCUAUAUAAGUCCACGUACCCUAAAAACAUCGACAACGAAGAUAGAUCGAGAGUUCCGCCGUCGCAAGCCUCUGUAGCCACCAAAAACCUCUCGGGAGCCCGUUCCGGUACCCUCCCGGAGGGGGAACCCAUCACCGGUGGCCAUCUUCAUCAUCCCGGCACUAUCCAUGACAAGGAGGGAGUAGUUCACCCUCGGGGCUGAGGGUAUGUACCAGUAGCUAUGUGUUUGAUCUCUCUCUCUCUCUUGUGUUCUCUCUAUGGCACGAUCUUGAUGUAUUGCGAGCUUCGCUAUUAUAGUUGGAUCUUAUGAUGUUUCUCCCCCUCUACUCUCUUGUGAUGAAUUGAGUUUCCCUCUUGAAGUUAUCUUAUCGGAUUGAGUCUUUAAUUUGAGAACACUUGAUGUAUGUCUUGCCGUGUUUAUCUGUGGUGACAAUGGGAUAUCAUGUGCCACUUGAUGUAUGUUUUGGUGACCAACUUGCGGGUUCCGCCCAUGAACCUAUGCAUAGGGGUUGGCACACGUUUUCUUGACUCUCCGGUAGAAACUUUGGGGCACUCUUUGAAGUACUUUGUGUUGGUUGGAUGAAUCUGAGAUUGUGUGCUGCAUAUCGUAUAAUCAUGCCCACGGAUACUUGAGGUGACAAUGGAGUAUCUAGGUGACAUUAGGGUUUUGGUUGAUUUGUGUCUUAAGGUGUUAUUCUAGUAUGAAUUCUAUGAUGGAUUGAGUGGAAAGAAUAGCUUUAUGUUAUUUUACUACGAACUCUUGAAUAGAUAGAAUAGAAAGGAUAACUUUGAGGUGGUUUCGUACCCUACCAUAAUCUCUUCGUUUGUUCUCCGCUAUUAGUUGCUUUGGAGUGACUCUUUGUUGCACGUUGAGGGAUUGUUAUAUGAUCUAUCUAUGUUAUUAUUGUUGAGAGAACUUGCACUAGUGAAAGUAUGAACCCUAGGCCUUGUUUCCUAUCAUUGCAAUACCGUUUACGCUCACUUUUAUCAUUCGUUACCUUGCUGUUUUUAUAUUUUUCAGAUUACAAAAACCUAUAUCUACUAUCCAUAUUGCACUUGUAUCAUCAUCUCUUCGCCGAACUAGUGCACCUAUACAAUUUACCAUUGUAUUGGGUGUGUUGGGGACACAAGAGACUCUUUGCUAUUUGGUUGCAGGGUUGUUUGAGAGAGACCAUCUUCAUCCUAUGCCUCCCACGGAUUGAUAAACCUUAGGUCAUCCACUUGAGGGAAAUUUGCUACUGUCCUACAAACCUGUGCACUUGCCGGCCCAACAACGUCUACAAGAAGAAGGUUGUGUAGUAGACAUCAAGCUCUUUUCUGGCGCCGUUGCCGGGGAGGUGAGUGCUUGAAGGUAUAUCUUUAGAUCUUGCAACCGAGUCUUUUAGUUUCUUGUUUUAUCACUAGUUUAGUUUAUAAAAGAAAACUACAAAAAAUGGAGUUAAGUUUGGCUCAUACGCUUCAUCUUUUUAAUAUCUUUCGUGAGUUUGAUGGAAAGGAAAAUUGUGCUCAAGUGCUAGAAGAAGAGUGCAUUAAAAUGCUUGGUACUGAAUUUUUGAAUGAUAAGCAUGAUUGCAAUGUUGUUAGUAUGAACUCUUUGAAUAGCCAUAGUACUUAUGAUGAUUGCACUAGUUAUGAUGAAAAUAUCUCCUAUAAGCAUGUCAACUUUUGUGGAAUGCAUGUUUGCAUGAACACACCAAAUAGAGAAGAUAUAUAUUGCAAGAGGCAUAAGCACUUAGAAACUAAAUGGUUGCAAGAAAGGCUAAAUGUGAGUGCUGAAAAUUUAAAUUUCCUUUGCCGUACUUGUGAACUUUGCAAUGAACGUGGUCAUUUACAUCUCCUAUGCAAAUUGUUUCAUGAACGAAUCGUGUCGAAAAAUUGUGAUGAUUUGAUUUCCCUUGCACAUUACAAUGAACUUAGUUUACUUUUGGGUUAUGAAGAAUUGAAACGUUUAAUUAAGGACCUUCCAGAAUUUGCCCAUAAGAAAUUCCUUGAUAUUGAUCUAGAGAAGAUUUAUUUGUAUUGUGCAGUGAAUUGCAUUGAAAAUCCUUAUAUUGCCAAUCACAUAAAGAAAAGAAAGCAAAUAGAAGAUGAUGAGAAUACUAAUGGAAGGGAAGAGACUUCCCAAUAUCCUCCUAUUAUUUCUUAUGAUGAGUCAGGUAACGAGGAGGAGCUUUCUAUUCAACCAAUCUUGUCAAUAAGGAGCUCAAAGAGGAAGGUUGAACCCACACAUAAUGUAAAAAAGAAAAGGAAAAGAAGGGGCAACAAAGGUAAAAAAGGUAUCCCUUCCAAAUGAUGUUGCUCCUACUACUCAUUGUGAUGAUGAUAAUUGCUACACUAUUGGUGCUAUCCAUAUUUUUAAUGAUGAGAGUGAUUAUGCUUAUGAUAUGAAAAUGCCCAAUCUUGGGGAAGCUAUGUUUGAUGAGGAUGAAGUAUUUGAGAAUAUAUUUGCUGAAAUUAAUGUUUGUCCCAAGCUUGGGGAUGCUAUGUUUAAUGAAGAUGAUAUUUUUAGCAUCCCAAGUUUUGAUAUUCAAAGUUGUUAUGAUGAUAGCAUGCCUCUUACCUAUGAUGAUUAUAUUGAUGAAAGUGGGUUUGGAAGAGUGUCAACUUUAGGAAGUAGUUAUCCCACUAUUUUGGAGGAUGUUGAAUCUUAUUGUGAUGAAUAUGAAAGUGGAUUUGGAAGAGUGUCAACUUUAUUUAGUGAUGAUUCCACUAUCUUGGUAGAGGUUUCAAUCGAUUAUGAUGAGAACGAAGUUGCUACUUAUGAUGAUUAUUGUGAUGAAACUUAUGCUAUAAAAAGUAGUAAUGAUUAUAUUUAUAAAACUUGUCAUGAUUAUAAUUACCCUUUUUCUGAACAUUACUCUUUUAAUGUGGAAACAAUUUUUAGUGUUCAAGUCUCUUAUGAUACUCCCACUAUUCCAAAUGAGAAGGAUUUUGCUUAUGUGGAGAGUAGUAAAUUUUCUAUGCUUGUAGAUCAUGAAAAUAAUGCUUUAUGUGCUGGUUAUAUUGUUGAAUUAAUUCAUGAUGCUACUGAAAAUUAUUAUGAGGGAGGAACAUAUGCUUGUAGGAAUUGCAAUAAUGUCAAGUUUCCUCCCUAUGUGCUUAAAAUCUUGAAGUUAUGCUUGUUUUGCCUUCCUAUGCUAGUUGAUUAUUGUUCCCAUAAGUUGUUUGCUCACAAAAUCCCUAUGCAUAGGAAGUGGGUUAGGCUUAAAUGUGCUAGUCAUAUGCUUCAUGAUGCUCCCGUUAUGUUUCAAUUCUUAUCUUUUAUGUGAGCAUCAUUGCCAUCAUCAUGCCUAGCUAGAAAGGCAUUAAAGAAAAGUGCUUGUUGGGAGACAACCCAAUAUUUACCUUUACUGUUUUUGUGUGUCAAUAUGAUUAUGCUACUGUAGUAAUCAUGUUUUAUAUCUUUUUGUUUCAAUAAAGUGCCAAGUAAGACCUUUAGGAUGGCUUACGGUGAUAGUUGUGUUGAUCCUGCUGAAAAUCAGAAACUUUUGCACCCAGUAAUUUAGUUUUGUUAAUUCAUAGAAACGUGCUUAUGAUCUGAUUCUUUUUGCUCUGGAUUGGUACACAAAUUGCUUAGGACUUCCUAAUUAGGUAGGAUUUUUGGAGUUCCAGAAGUAUACGUUUGAUAUAGAUUACUACAGACUGUUCUGUUUCUGACAGAUUCUGUUUUUCAUGUGUUGUUUGCUUAUUUUGGUGCAUCUAUGAGUAGUAUCAGAGGGUAUGAACCAUAGAUAAGUUGGAAUACAGUAGAUAUUACACCAAUAUGAAUUUAGAAUGAGUUCAUUACAGUACCUAAGUGGUGGUUUUAUUUUCCUGUACUAACGGAGCUUAAGAGUUUUCUGUUGAGUUUUGUGUUGUGGAGUUUUCAAGUUUUGUUUAAAGAUUCGAUGGACUAUGGAAUAAGGAGUGGCAAGAGCCUAAGAUUGGGGAUUCCCAAGGCACCCCAAGGUAAUAUUCAAGGAUAACCAAGAGCCUAAGAUUGGGGAUGCCCCGGAUGGCAUUCCCUCUUUCGUCUUCGUUCAUCGGUAACUUUACUUGGAGCUAUAUUUUUAUUCACCACAUGAUAUGUGUUUUGCUUGGAGCAUCAAUUUCUCUUGUUAGUAUUUGCUUGCUGUUAUUUAGAAUAAUGUUUUGCAUCUUUACUUUCAAUAAAAAAAGUCAAGGAUAGCCUUUACCAUGCUUAUUUUGCUAGUAUACAUGUUGCUGUUUGGAAACAGAAAGGUUACCGCUGUUGCAAAAAUUCCCUAGAAAAGUCAGAGCAUGAUAUAAUGUUGAAACUUAUUGCAUAAUGAUCUCUGAUAAAUUUACUACGGUGUGAAUUUUAUUUCAUAAUUUUUGGAGUUAGGGAAGUUUGAUGAAUCUUGCAUUCUUUACAGACUGUACUGUUUUGACAGAUUGCUGUUAUGUUUGCAUUGUUUGCAUAUGUUUGCUUGUUUAGUGAUUCUAUUUAAGGAUAGGAGUAUUCAAUAUGCAGAGGCAUUUAGUAUGAAAUGUUGAAUAAUAAUUUUAGUGAUUUGUUAUAGUAGAAAAUGAUAAGGUUUUGCAUUGAUUUAUACUAACCUAUCUCACGAGUUCUUGUUGAGUUUGGUGUGGAUGAAGCUUUUGAUAAAAAGAGAAACCAUGAUAUGAGAGGAAUUAAGGAGACACAAAAGUUCAAGCUUGGGGAUUCCCAAGGCACCACAAGAUAAUAUUUCAAGAAGUAUCAAGCAUCUAAGCUUGGGGAUGCCCCGGUAGGCAUCCCACCUUUCUUCUUCAAACAACUAUCGGUUAGUAUCGGUUGAACCUAAGUUUUUGCUUCUUCACAUGAGUUGUGCUAUCCUUGCAAUGUCAUUUUAUUUUGUUUUGCUUGCUGCUUGAAUAAAGUACUUGAGAUCUGAAAUUCUUUAAUGAGAGAGAGUCUUCACAUAGUUACAUAAUUUAGCUACUCAUUGAUCUUCACUUAUAUCUUGUUGGAGUAAUUUGUCGUUUACUCGUGUGCUUCACUUAUAUCCUAUGAGUAAAUGGUUGAAUGAGUUGAAUGUCAUAAAUCUGAAAUUAUAUAUAUUUCAUUUGCUUAUCCCAUGGGGAGUAAUGACUUCACAUCUAAGAAGUAGAGGUUGUAAAUUUAUUGAAGGUUAGAAAGCAUUGUAUUGGUCAUUUGAACAAUUCAUGAAAGAAUAUUGAAGGAAGAGAGAUUUCCCAUAUAAAUACACUAUCCUAGACAUCUUUUAUAAUUGGGAGCACUCAUUAAGUAUGACAUGCUAAAGAGUUGAUGUUGGAUAAGGAAGACAACGUAAUGGGUUAUGUUUUCGCACAUCUCAGUUAAAGUAUAUUGUCAUGGAUCAUUCAAACAUGUUGAGCUUGCCUUUCCCCCUCAUGCUAGCCAAAUUCCUUGCACCAAGUAGAGAUACUAUUUGUGCUUCCAAAUAUCCUUAAACCCAGUUUUGCCAUAAGAGUCCACUAUACCUACCUAUGGAUUGAGUAAGGUCCUUCAAGUAAGUUGUCAUUGGUGCAAGCAAUAAAAGUUGCUCUCUAAAUAUGCAUGACUUAUUAGUGCGGAGAAAAUAAGCUUUGUACGAUCUUGUUAUGGAAGCAAUAAAAGCGACGGACUGCAUAAUAAAGGUCCAUAUACAAGUGGCAAUAUAAAGUGACGUUCUUUCGCAUUAAGAUUUUAUGUAUCCAACCCUAAAAGCGCAUGACAACCUCUGCUUCCCUCUGCGAAGGGCCUAUCUUUUACUUUAUGCAAGAGUCAAGGUGAUCUUCACCUUUCCCUUUUUCAUUUUAUCCUUUGGCAAGCACUUUGUGUUGGGGUGAUCCUGAUAUAUAUAUCCAAUUGGAUGUAAGUUAGCAUUAACUAUUAUUGUUGACAUCACCCAAAGGUGAAUACAUUGGGAGGCAACACUAUAAUCCCCUAUCUUUCCCAGUGUCCGAUUGAAACUCCAUAACCAUUAGUGUUGUGUGAGUGUUAGCAAUUGUAGAAGACUAUAUGAUAGUUGAGUAUGUGGAGUUUGCUAUUCCUGAAAAUAAGAUGAAUUGCAAGUGUUUGAUGACUAAGAAUGAAGUUUGCUAGUUUUCAAGAAAGUUUAUGGUCUAUGCUUUAACAUGAGAAUUGCUUGUUACUUGAUCUUGAGAAGUUUUAUGAGAUGAACUACUGUUAUGACAUAUAAUCAUGCUAGAAAAGGUGACUGAAAUUAUCAUUGAUCAAACUUGUGCACCUUCUAGCAUUCACACUUCAUAAAUUCUUUCUUUUAUCAUUUACCUACUCGAGGACGAGUAGGAAUUAAGCUUGGGUAUGCUGAUACGUCUCCAACAUAUCUAUAAUUUAUGAAGCAUUCAUGCUAUUUUAUUAUCUGUUUUGAAUGAUUACGGGCUUUAUUAUACACUUUUAUAUUACUUUUGGAACUAACCUAUUAACCGGAGGCCCAGCCCAUAUUGCUGUUUUAUUGCCUGUUUCGGUAUUUCGAAGAAAAGGAAUAUCAAACGGAGUCCAAACGGAGUCCAAACGGAAUGAAACCUUUAGGAGCGUGAUUUUUAGAACAAUAUGAUCCGGGAGACUUGGAGUUCACGUCAGAAGAUCCUCGAGGAGGCCACGAGAUAGGGGGGCGCGCCCACCCCCCUGGGCGCGUCCUACCCUCUCGUGGGCCCCUCGAGGCUCCCCUAACCGACUUCUUUCACCUAUAUAAGUCCAUGUACCCUAAAAACAUCGACAACGAAGAUAGAUCGAGAGUUACGCCGCCGCAAGCCUUUGUAGCCACCAAAAACCUCUCGGGAGCCUGUUCCAACACCCUGCCGGAGGGGGGAACCCAUCACCGGUGUCCAUCUUCAUCAUCCCGGCGCUAUCCAUGACGAGGAGGGAGUAGUUCACCCUCGGGGCUGAGGGUAUGUACCAGUAGCUAUGUGUUUGAUCUCUCUAUCUCUCUCUCUCUCUCUCGUGUUCUCUCUAUGGCACGAUCUUGAUGUAUCGCGAGCUUUGCUAUUAUAGUUGGAUAUUAUGAUGUUUCUCCCCCUCUACUCUCUUGUGAUGAAUUGAGUUUCCCUCUUGAAGUUAUCUUAUAGGAUUGAGUCUUUAAUUUGAGAACACUUGAUGUAUGUCUUGUCGUGUUUAUCUAUGGUGAUAAUGGGAUAUCACGUGCCACUUGAUGUAUGUUUUGGUGACCAACUUGCGGGUUCCGCCCAUGAACCUAUGCAUAGGGGUUGGCACAUGUUUUCUUGACUCUCCGGUAGAAACUUUGGGGCACUCUUUGAAGUACUUUGUGUUGGUUGGAUGAAUCUGAGAUUGUGUGAUGCAUAUCGUAUAAUCAUGCCCACGGAUACUUGAGGUGACAAUGGAGUAUCUAGGUAACAUUACGGUUUUGGUUGAUUUGUGUCUUAAGGUGUUAUUCUAGUAUGAACUCUAUGAUGGAUUGAGUGGAAAGAAUAGAUUUAUGUUAUUUUACUACGAACUCUUGAAUAGAUAGAACUGAAAGGAUAACUUUGAGGUGGUUUCGUACCCUACCAUAACCUCUUCGUUUGUUCUCCGCUAUUAGUUGCUUUGGAGUGACUCUUUGUUGCAUGUUGAGGGAUUGUUAUAUGAUCUAUCUAUGUUAUUAUUGUUGAGAGAACUUGCACUAGUGAAAGUAUGAACCCUAGGCCUUGUUUCCUAUCAUUGCAAUACUGUUUACGCUCACUUUUAUCAUUCGUUACCUUGCUGUUUUUAUAUUUUUUAGAUUACAAAAACCUAUAUCUACUAUCCAUAUUGCACUUGUAUCAUCAUCUCUUCGCCGAACUAGUGCACCUAUACAAUUUACCAUUGUAUUGGGUGUGUUGGGGACACAAGAGACUCUUUGCUAUUUGGUUGCAGGGUUGUUUGAGAGAGACCAUCUUCAUCCUACGCCUCCCACGGAUUGAUAAACCUUAGGUCAUCCACUUGAGGGAAAUUUGCUACUAUCCUACAAACCUAUGCACUUGCAGGCCCAACAACGUCUACAAGAAGAAGGUUGUGUAGUAGACAUCAGUGUUGCAAGUUGUGAAACAAAUUUAUGUGAAAUGAUUUGUGGAAUAUAUGUGAAAUUUAUAUUUCAAUGUGCUGAAACUGGAAAUUUCAGCCUGUGGAAGUGUUAUAUAUUUCUCAAAAUGAUUGGAAUGAUUUUCAGUGAGAUAUGAAAUGAAAUAGCUAUGUGUAGUUGAGUUGUGCAUAAUAUGUGAAACUGAUAUUUCAAUGUGUUGUUGCAAGUUGUCAAACUAAUUUAUGUGAAAAUAUAUGAAAUUACUUCUCUGAAAUGCAUAAAACUGAUAUUUCUCAUAUUUGUAACUUGUUAUUUCAGUGAUAUAUGUAUUGAAAAAUAUGAAAUUACUUUCCUGAAAUAUAUUUCGAUGUGGUGUUGCAAGUUGUGAAACUAAUUUUUGUGAGAAUAUAUGAAAUUACUUCUCUGAAAUAUGUGAAACUGAUAUUUGUCAUAUUUGUAACUUGUUAUUUCAGUGAAAUAUGUAUUUAAAAAUAUGAAAUUACUUCCCUGAAAUAUAUUUCAAUGUGGUGUUGCAAGUUGUGAAACUAAUUUUUGUGAGAAUAUAUGAAAUUCCUUCUCUGAAAUAUAUGAAACUGCUAUUUCAUAUAUAUGUAACUUUUUAUUUCGGUGAGAUAUGUAUUGAAAUAUAUGAAAUUACUUCCCUGAAAUAUAUUUCAAUGUGGUGUUGCAAGUUGUGGAACUACUUUCUGUGAAAAUAUAUGAAAUUACUUCUCUGAAAUAUGUGAAACUGCUAUUUGUCAUAUAUGUAACUUGUUAUUUUAGUGAGGUAUGCAUUGAAAAGUGUGAAAUUACCACCCUGAAAAAUAUGUAAUUACUUCCCUAAAAUAUAUUUCAAUGCGGUGUUGCAAGUUAUUAAACUAUUUUAACUUUAAUGGUUUGUGCAAGAUAUGUGAAAUUUUUAUUUCAAUGUGGUGAAACCAGAUCAUUUUAGCUUGUGGAAGUGUUAUAUAUUUCUCAAAAUGAUUGCAAUGCUUUUUGAAAGAGUUGAAAUGCUAUUUCAGUUAGAUACUAAUUGAAAUAGCUAUGUGUAGAUGAGCUGUGGACAAAAAAUGUGAAAUUGACAUUUCAAUGUGUUAUUGCAUUUUUUUUGAAAAAGUUUUAUUUGAAAUGAAUUUAAUAAGUUUUUAAAUUCUCAUAUAUGUUUUAACAGAUUUCAAAUCAAUUUAAAGUAGAGGUUUGUCCUUUGAAAAACAAGCUGACAUUUCUAUACGUCUGUGUGAAGUGAGACUGGCUUCACGCGUAUGUGUAAAGCGAUGGCUGUGGCUGAAAUCACGUGGUUAGGCCCAGCUGGUCAAAUCAUGUGGGUGGGGUCCAGCUGGUGAAAUACAGGGGCUUAAAUGAAGAUAUAUGUGAAAUACAAAGAUACAACUUAUGACAACUUUUGAGGUGUCGAGAUUUUAUUGGUUGGAGAACCACCUGUAUAUCCCGGCACCGGCACCGGCACCGGUAAAAAGAGGUUUGCGUCUCCACCUCCACGACACAUCACACCAUGCGCACAAGUGGUGCGUUUUUGCUCAAUAAUCCCCGCCCUAUGUGCCAAAUAGGACCAAGACAAGCAGGAUAUGCGGAUCAGAUGCAAACUGAUCUAUCGUCCACUUAUUUCAAUCGUCUACCGUGGUCACCCACGCACGAAAUUUAUGGGCUUGACUUCAAGGUACCACAGAUAGCCGCUUGUUGUGUGCCUAUGUGCAACCAAAAAUGUUCGCAACAUCGUACUAGAUCGUGGUCUCUCUAAGCGUCCGUCCCGUGUGUGACGGUAGGUACCCCGCAGCGACGCGUGGGCAACUUGGUUUGCGCCGCCGUUUCGUCGCCGUUUGGCUGCCCUAGGCCCGGUUCCCACCUGCCUCCCCCAACGUGAGUGCGGCUAGCCACAGCAGCCGCUUCUUGGGUGGGAUGGGGGCUUUGUUUUGGCCGUGAGUAGUGAGGUUUCGGGUGGAGUAGAGAGAGGGAGCCGCCCAGAUUUGGUCAGGGCCGGCAGUCCGCCGGCGAGAGGAAAGGUGAGAACUUCUCCUACCACCAAAAGCCUUCCCUAGGACCCCGGGGCCCGGGGUCGUAAUACACCCACCCGGAACGGCGUCGGCGUCAAGGAAGGGGAAGGGGAAGGAGGCGGGGGCGGAAGGAGUGGAAGCCCUGCUCAAGAACUUGAGGAUUGCUGAGAAGAAGAAGUGUGUGGUGCUAGGGACGGCAAGCGCAAGGGCGAAGGUAAAUCCAAACCAAGCUAUUGGGAAAGUGUUGUCCAAAAAAGUGACAUAUGCGGAUGGCAUUGCUCAGACUCUAGGAAGGAUUUGGUGCCGAAGGGAGGGUACCUUGUGCAAGGAGCUGGGGAGGAAUUGUUCUUGCUCACUUUCGGCCAGGCGUCGGGGAAGAGGAAAGCGCUCGAAGGGGGGCCAUGGCUAGUGGGCAAAGAUCUGCUGGUGCUGGAGGACUUCAUUGCAAGCAAAACAUUGGCUGAUUAUGAGUUCCGGUACUUCUCGAUUUGGGUUAGGGUGUCAAACAUCCCCCUGGGAAUGAUGAAUAAAGAUACUAGAGAGCUGAUUGGACAAGCAAUGGGGGAAUUCAUGGAAGCGGAGGUAGAUGCAGAGGACAUGGCAAUGGGGGAGUUCAUGAGAAUAAAGGUCAAACUCGAUGUCCAUGAGCCACUCAUGCGUGGUAUUAAAAUUCAAGUGAGCCCUGGAAAUGGGGAUGGGGAGGAGGAGGAAGGGGAUGAGAGUGAGGAGGAAGCGAUGAGGAUCAGGGGGGUGAGCGAAUGGAUGUGGUCGGAAAGAAGGGAAAGAAGAAAAAGUGGUGCCCUUUUGCUUAUGAGUUUUUACCUAAUUUCUGCUACACCUGUGGGAUCAUUGGCCAUACGGAUAAAGAGUGUUCCUAUAAAUUGAAAAGGGGGGAGGUGCAAUUGUACAACAAAGGUUUGAAGGUGAACAUGCUGGUCAGUUCAAGGAGGCUGGGUGGUGAGGAGGACAGAGGACAGUGGAGUGGCGGAAGGGGGGGUUUCUCUGCUAGAAGUAAUAGCUCUGGGGGUAGGGGAAGUUGGACCAGGAGUGACUUGGAGUCAUGGCGAAGGAAGGAGGUUGGGCAGGCCGGGGACAUGAGGAAGAAGAUAGGGGAGGAGAAGGAAGUCACCAGUCCGUUAAAGCUCCCUGACCCGAGAAUGACUAUGAAAAACAACAAAAAGAAGCUUGAGUUCUCGGAUGGGGAGAUGGUGAGUGCUGACCAUACAAAGAAAAGUACAAGAGAGGGUGAGGAGUUCAAGGAAGGAGGGAGGGAGGGAAAGAAGGAUGACAUGGGAGGAGUGGCGCGGGAGAAGGGAGACGUGGGCGUCCUAGGAGAUCCUGCCUCAAAUGAGCGGGGGCUGGAAGUGCAGAGAUAAGUAUAAAAAACAAAAAGGGGAAUAGCAAGAAGGUAGGGGAAGGGACAUAGGAAAAAGGAAGAACACACAGAAGGGUGAACAGAAGCGGCAAGGGAGAGCGGUGUGAAGGGGGAGUACAGAGUUUGGUGGGCACAAAACGAGACCCAACGGUAAUGGAGAUCGAGACUGAACUGGAGGAGGAGAUAAAGGCGAAAAGGCAGAGGGGGUUGGAGAUCAACGUGGAAACGGACAGUAAACUACCAAUAGAAGGGGGGCUGCAGUCACAGCCCUGCAAGAGCCAAUGAAUAUCGUGGCAUGGAAUUGUCGGGGGUUGGGAAACGCCCCGACAGUUCGUGGACUUCUGGACGUCCAGAGGUCCGAGGACCCAAACAUAUUGUUCUUGUCUGAAACAAAGCUCAAGGCAAAGAAAAUGGAGAGAUUUAAGUGGUUGCUCGGACUGCCAUGCAUGGUGGCACGAGAUAGUGAGGGUAAAGGAGGUGGGGUGGCAGUUUUCUGGAGAAGAGGAUUAAAUGUGGAGUUGCGAAAUUUCUCUAGGUUCCAUAUGGACCUGGAGAUCAAGGAAGAGGACGGUUUCAAAUGGAGGUUCACAGGCAUGUAUGGGGAGCCGAGGGCGGAGAAGAAGCAUCUCACGUGGAAGCUGAUGAGGAUCCUUCAUAACCAAGUGUCACUCCCUUGGCUGUGCACGGGAGACUUCAACGAGGUGUUGUUUGCUAACGAGAAGGAGGGCGGGAAUGAAAAAACCCAGGCAUGCAUGGGCAGAUUCAAGGAGGCCUUGGAGGUAUGUGGUUUAGAGGACAUGGGGUUUGAGGGGGACAAGUUUACCUGGCGGAAUAACAACCACCGAUGGGAGAACUACAUCCAGCAAAGAUUGGAUAGGGCGGUCGCAAAUGAGGGAUGGAGGAAGCAGUUUGAGGGGUUCAAGGUAGUGAAUGGUGAUCCUAGACACUCGGACCACAGGCCCAUUGUCAUCACAACAGAGAAAUCUGAGGGGGAGGGAGCAACAAGAGAGGUAGGGAGAGGAGGUGGGAGUCACAAGUUUAAGUUUGAGGCAUGUUGGCUGGAGGAGCAGCAGUGUGAUCAACUAGUGAAGGAGGCAUGAUGUCACACAAUGGCAGAGGGUGGUCGGUGUGUGAGGGAGGGGCUGAAGCAGGUGGCGGGAAGCUUCAGAAUUGGAGUGGAAACGUUUUGGGUGGCUUGGAGAAAAGGCUGAAGAAAGCAAGGAAAGAAGUGGAGAGAUGGAGACGUAUGCCGGUGAGUAAGGAGAAAGUGGCAGGGGAGGAAGUGGCACGGUAUAGAGUGGAGAGGCUGGAGGAGCAACUGAACACCUACUAUAAGCAGCAUGCACACAUGACCUGGUUGAGGAAGGGGGACAGAAACACCUCAUUUUUUCAUGCAAGUGUUAAAGAGCGAAGGAGAACUAAUAGGAUAGGGAAGCUGAGGCGUGAAGAUGGGAGCUGGGCGGUGAAAGAGGAGGAAAAGAAGGAGGUUGUCACUAAAUAUUUUGCGCAGCUGUUCAGGUCAUAGGGCAUAACACAUCAUGAUGAGGUUCUGAAUUCAGUGCAGAGCAGGGUAACGAGGGAGAUGAACUCGGGCCUACUGGCAGAGUUUAGUGCUGAGGAGGUCAAGGCGGAUCUGAGGGACAUUGGGGAUUUAAAGGCGCCAGGGGAGGAUGGUAUGCCAGCCAUUUUGUACAAGCACUACUAGGUGGAUGUGGGUGACAAAAUCACACAGGAAGUGCUAGCUUUUUUAAAUGGGGGGCCUAUGCCAACUGACUGGAACAACACGUCCACACGCUGAUCCCCAAGGUGAAGAAACCGGACUGUAUCAAGAAUCUGAGACCAAUAAGUCUUUGUAAUGUGGUCUAUAAGAUCAUAUCAAAGAUUCUCUCAAAGAGGUUGAAAGUGAUAUUGCCCGAGAUCAUCUCUUCGACUCAGAGUGCCUUUGUGCCGGGUAGGCUCCUAACUGACAAUGUACUGCUCGCUUAUGAGGUCAUGCACUAUAUGCGCAACAAAAGAAGUGGGAAGGAGGCCUAUGCCGCGGUGAAAUUGGAUAUGAGCAAGGCAUAUGACCGGGUUGAAUGGCAUUUCUUGGAAGCUAUGAUGGUCAAAAUGGGUUUCCACCGAAGGUUUAUGGAGCUGAUUAUGAAGUGUGUGAGGACAGUAAAGUAUCACAUCAAGAUUAAUGGUGAUCUCACCGAGGAAGUGUUACCUGAGAGGGGGCUGAGACAGGGGGACCCGCUGUCCCCUUAUCUCUUUUUGUUAUGCGCGGAAGCCUUUUCGUGUCUACUAACAAAAGCUGAGCAGAACAACUUGAUCCAGGGGAUUAAGGUGUGCCCGAAUGCCCCUAGCAUUUCUCUGCUGUUUGCCGAUGAUUCCCUCAUCCUUUUCAAGGCAAAUAAAGAGAGUGCGGAGCAGAUCCAACGUAUUUUGCAGGUUUAUGAGGCAAGCACGGGCCAAACCAUAAACAAAGAUAAAUCUGCCGCUUUCUUUAGUGCCAAUGUGCAGGCAAAGGAUAAGAAGGAUGUGAUGUGCAUUCUGGGGAUUGAGAAGGAGGCACUAAAUGAAAGAUAUCUGGGCAUGCCAAUUCAUGUGGGCAAAUCAAGAACCAAGACUUUCAGGCACAUAAUUGAGAGGAUUCUGCAAAGAAUUAGUGGAUGGCAGGAGAAGCUGCUCUCUCGGAUGGGAAAAGAACUCCUGAUUAAGGCAGUGGCGUAGGCGAUACCCACGUUUACUAUGUCAUGUUUUGACUUGACGAAGACCAUCUGUGAGGAAAUCAGCACCUUGGUGUGUAAAUACUGGUGGAGCCAGCGGGAUAAAUCCAACAAGAUUCAUUGGCUGAGUUGGGAGAAGAUGGUAAAGCCAAAGAGUGGGGGGGCCUGGGGUUCCGCGACAUCCACAGCUUCAACAUGGCUAUGCUCGCGAGACAAGGAUGGAGAAUGUUGCAACGGCCAGAGUCUUUAUGCGCACCGGUCUUGGGGGCUAAAUAUUUCCCCGAUGGGAAUCUGUUGAGUGUGGAGGAAACGAACAAUAUGUCCUACACCUGGAGGAGUAUUUUGCAAGGAAUCAAAAUCCUGAAGAAGGGGCUCAUUUGGCGAGUUGGCGAUGGACAGUCAAUCAAUAUGUGGAAGGACCCAUGGAUACCUAGGGGAACAACUAGGCGGCCGUCUACACCAAGGGGCACAAACAUUAUGUCAAAGGUCGGAGAGCUUAUCAACCCGGCUACUGGGUCAUGGGAUGAAGAACUGGUUCGGGCCACUUUCAAUGAAGAAGAUACCUCCUGGAUAUUGGCAAUCCCCGCAAAUUGUGAGCUGGAAGAUCUGCCGGCCUGGCACUUUGAAAGAAGGGGCAAGUUCUUUGUUAAAUCUGCAUAUUGGGUGCAUAUGCAUGAUAAAAACAUGGAGGGGCUGAGAGGUGUUGCUUCGAGGGCUGAGGAAGCGAACAAAGUGUCCCCUUGGAAGAAGAUCUGGCGGAUGACGGUCCCAGGUAAAAUAAAACAUUUUAUGUGGACGUUGGCUCACAACUCGAUGGCUGUUUGCAUGAACCUGCGAAGAAGAGGGCUGGAUAUCUCCAUGCGGUGCCCUGUUUGCCAAGCCAAUGGGGAGGACGGAGGCCAUCUGCUCUUCAAAUGCAAACAAGUUAAGGAGAUCUGGAGGCUGUGCGGGCUGGAGGAGGAGAGACUGCUGCUUAUGGAUCAGAGCACAGCUUUAACAAUGAUGGAUAAAUUGACAACUCUUGCUGGGGAGAAGCAAGCCAUUAUUGCCACUCUCAUGUGGAACUGGUGGUGUGAGCACAAUAACCGCAGAGGAGGAAAAGGAAGACGAAUCGAAGAGCUUGCUUGGAUUAUUGAGCAUCACACGAACGAGUUUCGAGACAUCCAACUGGAACCAACAAAUUAUGGGCUGACUCCACAGCAGCGAUGGAAACCACCGCCGGCUGAGUGGAUUAAAAUUAACAUUGAUGGCUCUUUCAAACCAAAAGACUGCAAUGGAGGCUGGGGGGCUAUGUUCAGGGAUCAUGUGGGUGAGGCGAUGGAGUGUGCUGCUGGCUUCCUGCCAAACUUGCUGAACCCGUUACAUUCCGAGAUGCUAGCUGCUAAAGCUGCUCUUCACUUGGCGUCAGACUUGGGAAUGGGCAGAGUCUACUUGGAAACUAAUGCUCUGCUGCUGAAGGAAGCGUUGGAUGAUACUAGUGUUGAUCUCUCUUGCCUAGGUGUUGUAGCUGACCGCUUAAAAGCUUUUAUUGUGUGUAAUUUCAUUGAGUGUAAGAUUGUGCACUGCUCUAGAACCUGUAAUCAAGUAGCGCACACCCUUGCGACGAAGGGCUCGUUGAUGGCCGGGGUGCCAAACAGUGUAACUGAUGGGUCUGACCCAUGUGUAUCAGCUUUAGUGGCGAGCGAUUUGGCUUCGCUCACUGUUUAAUGCAAAUUGCAUUGAAUCUCAAAAAAAAAUGUUCGCAACAAUAGGUUCAGAUGACGUGGGAGUCAAACUUGGGUAAAUUCAUACAAGUUGUGGAAACAGAAUAUGAAGAAAUCAUACAUGAGAUGCCCAAAGGGAACAAUUUGUGAUCUCUUUCUUUAGCAACAAAUCAAACCACCGAUACAAAUGAGAUUCGCUCAACAAAUCCCACGACAUGCUCAAAACGCUACGGCGUAAAUUUCGUCCACUGCUACAAGCAAGUCAUGGAUCCGAGUACCCAUUUCUGCUUGUGUUCAAAAGGCACAAUGAAGGCAAUAAUAAAUACUGAAAAGAAAAGAACCGGCAAAAUUGCAGCCUAUUAGUAGCACUUGGGGCUGAUCAG